UGUAAGUUCAAAGUUGAACUUAAUUCAAAAAGUAAAGCAAUUCUAUUUGCUCACAAGAAAUGUGUCCCCCGCCAUACCUUCUUUCCCUCUGUUUGUCCACUACCGCGCCCGAACCUAAGCAAAGGAAGUCCAAAAGACAGACCCGAAUAAAGAAUAAAUAGUAAUCUUUGACAAAACAAAUAAGAAGAAAAAUGAUUCUUACUUCGAUACAAGAAGAAUCGACACAAGAAAAAGGCAAAAAAGCCUUUUUCUUGUGCCCAAUAGAGGAUUAAGAAGACCCACAAUUCCUCCUAAAAGGACUUGUUCCUAGCCUAACAGCCGUAGUGUUUUACUCUUGUUAAAUAUCCCUUGUAGUUACUAUGUUGUAAAACUCUUGUUAAAUAUUCCUUGUAGUUACUAUGUCGUAAAGUGGUUUCAAAUUGACAAUUGCAUAUUUGGGUACCAAUUUGGACUCCUGCAAAAACAUCGUGGAAUUAGGACUUUUUAUUUCACCGUUAGGGACUCGUGGAUCAUGGUUAAGGGAUACUAGAAGACACUUGGAUGGUACUAUGGUAGUACUUUCUGAAAGGAUCACGAUGCCCAAGAGGGGGGGGUGAAUUGGGCUUUUCUAAAAAUCAACACUAAUUAAAACCUAAGCAAGAGCUAAACAAGAGCCCAACUUCACCCCAACAACUAGCACUAAGAAUAUAAUACUAGAAAUGUAACAAAGCUAAGAUAAUACUUCAAAUACUUGCUAAACAAAUACACAAGGUAAAGUGCUUGAAUUAAGUGCGGAAUGUAAAGCAAAGUUUUAGAAGACUCCUCCAAUUUUUCCCGAGGUAUCGAAGAGUCGGCACUCUCCACUAGUCCUCGUUGGAGCACCCGUGCAAGGGUAUCGCUCCCCCUUGGUCCUCGCAAGAACCAAGUGCUCACUACGAGAUGAUCCUUUGCCACUCCGGCGCGGUGGAUCCCUCGAGACCGCUUACAAACUUGAGUCGGGUCACCAACAAGAUCUUCACGGUGAUCACCGAGCUCCCAACACCACCAAGCCGUCUAGGUGAUGCCGAUCACUAAGAGUAACAAGUCGUAGACUUUCGCUUGACCAAAAGAAGCCUAAUGCAAGUGGUGUGUGCUCUAGGUGGCUCUCACUAGCGCUAAUGAGGAACAAACGCGGAUUAUGAUUCUCUAAACUCCUCACUAGGCUUUUGGUGCUUGCAAUGCUCUAGCAAUGUGCUGGAAUAAAUGUGGAGUGCAAGACAUUGAAUAUGGUGGGUGGAGGGGGUAUAAAUAGCCCUCACCACCAACUAGCCGUUACAGGCAAUUCACUGCGCGAUGGCGCACCGGACAGUCCGGUGCGCCACCGGUGCGCCAACGGUCGUUUCCAACGGCUAGUUCUGACAGAGAGCCGUUGGACUCAUGGCGCACCGGACAGUGAACAGUCCACUGUCCGGUGCACACCGGACAGUCCGGUGCGGUGUCCGGUGUGCCAUUAAAAUUCAACUCUGAAAGCUGCGCUCUCAGGUUUCUGCGAAGGGAAAAGAUUCUGCCGUGGACCAGCCUGGCCCCACCUGGCAGAGGGUGCACCGGACAGUCCGGUGCACACCGGACAGUCCGGUGCCCCAAAGCCAGAAACACUAACUCUUGUUUUUCAGCUGAUUUUCAAAUCGGUUUUCGCUCUAACUUGUGUGUGAGUUCUAGAGUGACACCUAGCACUGUAUAUGAGUGUGAUUGUGCACCAACACUACACUAGAACUCUCUUGGUCAAACUACUCAUCGACAACCCCUCUUUAUAGUACGGCUAAAAGAGAAUAAAAGACCUAACUAAAUCGCGAGUGUCCACAUCUCCUUGACACUCGGACUCUGUAGACCUUCACCUUUUGUUCCGUCGUUUUAGACGUUGCUUCGAGUUCUUAUCUCCGGGAUUGUUUUCACCGUUGUAGUACUUCUACCUGUCAUGCGACCUAACUUACCAUUUGUCUCUGCAAAACACACGUUAGUCACAUAUAAUAUUACGUUGUCAUUAAUCACUAAAACCAACCAGGGGCCUAGAUGCUUUCAAUCUCCCCCUUUUUGGUGAUUGAUGACAACCCUACAAGUUUUGUGAGAGUAGUUUGUUUUGAAGAUUCUGUCAAUAGAAAGAAUGGUUAGUUAUACUCAGUAAUCUUUGACAGAAGGAAUGUGUACCAUAAUAAUAAGAGUGAGCGCAUACACAUCAUAAGAUUCUUGUUCAUAUAAAAGUGAAGUUAAAUUAAUGAAACAAGAGCUAGAAGACUGGUGAUAAAAUAUAAGGUGAAAACAUAAUACACACAGUCAAUCAUACGCAACGAGAGUAUAUGACGAGUUUGUGAGCCAAAAACAUCAAGCUUGUACAGAGAGUAGCAAGCACAUAUAUUACAUCAAAAUGACUCUGACUCUCUACUAACUCUCUAACUCCCCCUAGCUCUCACAACUCAUAUCUCUCCCCCUUUGGCGUCAAACACCAAAAGGGACCUGAACCUAAACGUCCGAAGCAGGAGGAGGCGGCGGGGGCGCAUCCGGUCGAGGUCGAGGUCGAGGUAGCAGAGCGAACGCCGGUGGAGGGUCAGAGUCAGUCUCGGAUCCAGGAUCUGCGGUAGAAGCUGGAGCUGGUACUGACUCGGACUGAGGCCGCGCUGCAGGAGCUACCGGAACAGAAGCGGUCACAGAUAUUGCCACAGCGGUAGUGGUAACAGCAGAUGCUGGUGGCACUGGCGGCUGCAGACAGACAGAGCUGAGAACCGGAGAGGUGAACGCCAAAGUGACCGGCCGGAGCGGAGAGGUACCAACAGGGGGUCCUGACAAAAUCGAUGGCACCACUGGAGCGUGAAGUGGAGGAGGUGGAGCAGACUGAACCGGAGCUGCUGAGAUACCAGAAUGCUGAAGCAUAAGGGCCAUGAAUGCCCUACUCUCAGCCCGAUCCUGAAGUAGCUGCUGCUGAAGUGCAUCUUGCCUGUCCUACAUGCUCUGAAACAUCGAGAGCAUCGUCUCGGAUAACCGGGCCUGCUCGGCUGCCAGGUUGGCCAGAAUCGUCGCAAGAGCAGGGUCCAUAGCCGGAGGAGGAGCAGGGGCAGCACGAGAACUCCCAGCCUCAUGAUCAUGUGAGCGUGGAGGCAUAGGAGGCGGAGGCGGAACCCCAAAAUCAUCAUCAUCAUUGUAAGGAAAAUGGACCCCGGGCCAUUUGGCUAAUUGAGUUUUGGUGUUUGAUGAACAACACAAUCCGUGAACUAAUAAGUUUUCUAGUGUUUGUGUUUGUAGUUCACAUGAUGCGAAGAGAAUUGGACCAAGGCAAUGAGGAUGCAACACCUCAAAAGAAGACAUAAAAAGAUGCAUAGGAGUCCAAUACUCAAGAACAAAGAAGCCCGAAGAAAUCAGCGAAGAAAUCCAAGAUAAGGGCGGUCAGCCAGCGCCUGGUGACGCACCGGACAUUGGUGUCCGGUGUGCACCGGACUGUUCGAUGAGGCACCGGACAGUCUGCGCAGAGAGGCCGCAGACAGGCGCUCUCUGGCUGUAGCACCGGACUGUCCGGUGUGCACCGGACUGUCCGGUGUGCCAACGGGCAGACGGCAACGGUCAGAUCCAACGGUCGACUGCUACAGGCGCCAACGGUCGGCUGACGUGGCGUGCACCGGACAUCUACUGUGCAGUGUCAGGUGGUGCACCGGACUGUCCGGUGCACCCGACGACAGAAAGCUGCUGCUUUCUGUCCAACGGCUAGUUUGGGGUGUGGAGGCUAUAAAUACCACCCCAACCGGCCAUUCUCAAGGGUGGGAGCCCAAGCAACAUACCAAGGCAUAUUGUAGACAUUUCCAAGUGCUCAAACACCCAAGUGCUUAAUAGAAUCACUCGGUGAUUAGCGUAGGUGCUUUGCGAAGUGCUUAGGUUAGUUAGACCGCAUUAGCGCUUGCUCUAGGUGAAUCCUAGUUUGUUGAGUGAGUUUAGACAAACCACAAUCCCUCGGCUCUUGCGUGGGCCAUUGUAAUUGUACCGAGUGGGGCGAGAGUCUUGCGAGACCGUGACAACCGCGUUUGUGUCACGGCCGCCACCGUGUACCGGAGGGAACGAGGCCCGCGGCAUUUCGGCCGGAAGCUCGAUAGUGGAGACGGCGGGGAGCGUCCGAGAGGAGCCGGAAGCGGAGCACCACUGGCGCGUGGAGAAGGCCCGCGGCUCUCUAUGGAGUUACUCGACCGUGGUGCUUGGCCCUCGCGUGGGCUUCCCUUUGCGUAGGGGCACCAACGAGGAUUAGUCGGGACCUUGCGUGGUUCCGGAUACCUCGGUAAAAAUACCGGCGUCUUCCACGAGAGUUUGCUUCUCUACUUAGCUCUUUACAUUCCGCAUUUAUAUUAAGCAUUUAAGUUUCAAUCUUAUUGUCAUACUUAUUUAGUGUAGAUUGAAACUUAGCCUUUGCGGUAGAGAUAGCAACACUUAGACAAAACCGAGUUUGCACAUUCUAGUUUUGAUUAUUUGCACAGGUUUUGCUCUAGGGAUUUAAUUGUGGCCUAGUUUAGUAAAAGUUUUAGAAGUCCUAAUUCACCCCCCCCCCCCUCUUAGGCGUCACCCGUUUCCUACAAGUGGUAUCAGAACCCGGUUUGGCUCAUUUGAAACGCUUUAGCUUCACCGCUAAAAAGAGCCGACGCUUUUUAGAGGAAGGGAUGGAUACCCAUAGGCCACCACACUUCGACGGCACUAACUUCCCAUAUUAUAGUGCUAGAAUGGCUUGUUACCUAGAGGCCGUUGAUCUAGGUGUUUGGAGAGUCACUCGUGACGGGAUGAAACCUCUCAAGAAUCCCGAGAAACCCACCACAAGUGAGGAAAAAGAAAUUCAUUUAAAUGCUAGAGCCAAAAAUUGCUUGUAUGAAUCUCUUAGCAUGGAUAUUUUUAAUCAAGUAUUUACCUUGAGAACUGCUAAUGAGAUUUGGCUAAAAUUGCAUGAGCUCCAUGAUGGCACAUCCAAUGUCCGUGAGCAAAAACAUUGCCUAGUCUUGAAUGAGUAUAAUUCUUUUGCUAUGAAAGAUGAUGAGCUUGUUAGAGACAUGUAUUCUCGUUUGAAUCUAAUUAUCAAUGAGCUCAAUUCUAUUGGCAUUAAUAAGCUAGGUGAUGCGGACAUUGUGAGGAAGAUUAUCUCCCUGCUACCACAACAAAGAUAUGGGAGCAUCAUCACCAUCCUUCACAACAUGGAGGAUUUGAGCAACAUGACCCCGACCAUUGUGAUUGGGAAAAUUGCAGCCUUUGAGAUGUCGCGAAAAAUGAGUCGGGGAGAGGAGCCAACUUCCUCAAGGCCAUAUGCUUUUGCAUGUGAUGAAAGGAAGGGCAAAAAGAAGGCUCCCACUCCAAGUUCCUCAAGUGAAGAAGAGGAAGAAGAAGAAAGUGAUGAUGAUGAAGAUAAUCAACCAUGCACAUCAUCCUCCGAGGACGAAGAAACAAUUCGACGCGUCGGAAAGGUAAUGAGGAUGAUCCGCAAGAUUAAUCUAAUGGGUGUGCCCCUGCAGGUCGAGGAUCUUCUCUUUAACAUUGACAGGAAAAAGCAAAGGAAGAGAGGAUGCUUCGCAUGUGGGGAGAAGGGCCACUUCAGGGACAACUGUCCAAAUAUGGCCAAGCCCAAAAAGGAGAGGAGCAAAGGCAAGGCGCUAACAAGUGUUAGAACUUGGGAUGAUUCUUCAAGUGAAGAUGAACCUCCAAGGACGCGCAGCCACCGGUCCUCGUCAUGAUCAUCACGGUCAUCACACAAAUGCCUUAUGGCAAGAGGUAACAAAAGCAUUCCAUCCUCUAGUGAUGAAAGUAGUAGUGAUGAUGAAGGUGAGGGAAAGCCCUCUCUAGAUGAGCUUGCGGAAGUGAAAGGGAAAUGUGCCCUUGGGCCAUUUCUAAGUAUUUUGGUGAUUGGGUGUCAACACAAGUGCUUAAAUGUGAAUCAAUGCCCAUAGAUGAACAAAGUGAAAAUCUAGAGCAAAGGUAUGUUUCUAAGUCUUAGUACAUUGGUUUUGUGUACUAAUAUAUUUGUCUAAGUGUUAGAAACAGAAAGAAGAAGAGAAGAGAAGACUUGGCUGUGUACAGCCAAGAGGCUGUUUCGGUCUGGGGCACCGGACUGUCCGGUGGUGCACCGGACAGUGUCCGGUGCGCCAGGCUGCCCCGGCCGAAGAGGCCGCUCUCGGGAAUUCGCCGACGGCGUACGGCUAAAAUUCACCGGACUGUCCGGUGUACACCGGACUGUCCGGUGAGCCAACGGUCGGCCGGGCCAACGGUCGGCCGCGCGAUCUGCGCGGGACACGUGGCCGAGCCAACGGUCGGGAAGGGGCACCGGACUGUCCGGUGUGCACCGGACAUGUCCGGUGCGCCAACGGCUCCCGCAUCUGCAACGGUCGACUGUGCUGUUUAAGGAAGGAAAUCGGGCACCGGACAGUGUCCGGUGUGCACCGGACUGUCCGGUGCGCCCGACGACAGAAGGCAAGAUCAGCCUUCCAGAUUUGCUCUCAACGGCUCCUAGCUGCCUUGGGGCUAUAAAAGGGACCCCUAGGCGCAUGGAGGAGAAAUCCAAGCAACCUUUGAGCAUUCUUGAUCAUCCACACUCAGUCUUUGCGCAUCCGUUUGUUAUUCUAAGUGAUUCGAGCUCCGUUCUUGUGAGAACUGUGAGAUAGUCUUUGAGCUCAAUUCUUGGCCGUGUGUGUGCGCAUUUUGCUGUGGAUUUGUGUGUGUUGCUUCCCUCCCUUACUCCGUAUUUCUUUGUGAAUCUCAAGUAUAAGGGCGAGAGACUCCAAGUUGUGGAGAUUCCUUGCAAACGGGAAAUUGAAAGGAAAAGCAUAACACUGUGGUAUUCAAGUUGAUCAUUGGAUCACUUGAGAGGAGUUGAGUGCAACUCUCGUCCGUUGGGACGCCACAACGUGGAGUAGGCAAGUUUUGUACUUGGCCGAACCACGGGAUAAAUCACUGUGUCUUCUCUGUGUUGAACUUCUUGUGGUUAUCAUAUUGUGCAAGAUCUUCUCUUUAGCCACUUGGCAUUAACUGUGCUAACGCUUAAUCAAAGUUUUGUGGCUUAAGUUUUGAAGUAUACAGGAUCACCUAUUCACCCCCCCCCCCUCUAGGUGCUCUCAAUUGGUAUCAGAGCCGUUCUCUUCACAAAGGGACUUACCGCCCGAAGAGAUGGAUCCUAAGGGGAAGGGAAUCGUGAUCAACGACAAAGAGAAGGAAUCCUUCGUCAACGAGCCGAAGGACGACAAGCCUACCGACUCCGGCUCGGGGCAUAGACGGAAGGAAGGGAAGAAGAAGAAGACAAGGCGCAUCAAGGAGAUCAUCUACUACGACGAUAGUGAUGAGUCUACUUCUUCCCAAAAGGAUGAUGACAACGACUACAAAAAGACGGUCAAUUCGAACUUUUCAUUUGAUUAUUCUCGUAUUCAACAUAGUUCGAAUUCGCAUUUGCUUUCCAUUCCUCUUGGCAAACCUCCACACUUCGAUGGGGAGGACUACGGAUUUUGGAGUCACAAAAUGCGUAGUCACUUAUUCUCUCUCCAUCCAAGCAUAUGGGAGAUUGUGGAGAAUGGAAUGAAAUUUGAUAGCUCGGAUAGUCCUAUGCUUAUAAAUGAACAAAUUCAUAGAAAUGCACAAGCUACUACUGUUCUCUUAGCAUCUUUGUGCAGGGAAGAGUACAAUAAGGUGAGCGGCUUGGACAAUGCCAAGCAGAUAUGGGAUACCCUCAAGAUCUCUCACGAGGGGAACGACAUCACCAUGCUCACCAAGAUGGAGUUGGUGGAGGGCGAGCUUGGACGAUUCGCCAUGAUAAGGGGAGAGGAGCCAACUCAAACUUACAACCGGCUCAAGACCCUUAUCAACAAAAUAAGGAGCUACGGAAGCACGCGUUGGACGGACCACGACGUCGUCCGCCUAAUGCUCAGGUCCUUUACCGUUCUUGAUCCUCAUCUCGUGAACAAUAUUCGUGAGAAUCCCAGGUACACGAUGAUGACGCCCGAGGAAGUACUUGGAAAAUUCGUGAGCGGGCGGAUGAUGAUCAAGGAGGCAAGGUACGUCGACGACGCGUUGAACGGUCCACUCCACGAGCCUCAACCCAUUGCUCUAAAGGCAACAAGGAGCAAGGAGUCGCUACCUAGCAAGGUGGCGCAAGUUGAGGCGGCCGGGCUCAAUGAUGAAGAGAUGGCUCUCAUCAUCAAGAGAUUCAAGACGGCGCUAAAAGGUCGAAAGGGACAGCCAAGCAAGGCCAAGACCAAGGGAAAGCGAUCAUGCUUCAAAUGCGGUAAGCUUGGUCAUUUUAUUGCUAACUGUCCCGAAAAUGAUAGUGACCAGGAGCAAGGGAAAAAUGGGAAGAAAGAGAACAAGAAGGCUUACAAGAAGGCCAAAGGCGAAGCACACCUUGGAAAGGAGUGGGAUUCGGAUUGCUCUUCGUCCGACUCCGACGACGAAGGACUCGCCGCCACUGCCUUCAACAAAUCGGCUCUCUUCCCCAACGAGCAUCACACUUGCCUCAUGGCAAGGGAAAAGAAGGUAAUCACUCAUAAUGCUAAUACUUAUGAUUCUUCUAGUGAUGAUGAAUCUAGUGAAGAUGAAAUUGAUUACUCUAGUUUAUUCAAGGGAUUGGAUAGAACUAAGAUAGCUAAGAUUAAUGAGUUGAUUGAUGCCUUAAAUGAAAAGGAUAGAAUCUUAGAGAAACAAGAAGACCUUUUAUAUGAAGAACAUGAUAAAUUUGUUAGUGCACAAAAUUCACUUGCUCUAGAAGUUAAAAGAAAUGGAAUACUUUCUUGUGAACUUUCUACUUGUAAUGAAACCAUUUCUUCUUUAAAAGGUGAAAUUAAUGUUUUAACUGCUAAACUAGAAGUAGCAAGUAACUCGUGUGUUGAAAAUAUUACAAUUUGCACUAGGUGUAAGGAUUUUGAUGUUAAUGCUUGUAGUGAACACUUAGUUUCAAUUUCAAAACUAAAUGAUGAGGUGGCUAGUCUUAAUGCUCAACUUAAGACUAGCAAGAGUGAAGUUGAUAAAAUAAAAUUUGCAAGGGAUGCCUACACAGUUGGUAGACACCCCUCAAUUAAGGAUGGUCUUGGCUUCAAGAGAGAGGCCAAGAACUUAACAAGCCAUAAGGCUCCCAUCUUCGUCAAGGAGAAAGGGAAGGCCCCUAUGGCUAGUAGUGCUAAAAGGAACCAUGCUUUCUUGUACCAUGAUAGGAGACAUGCUAGAAAUGCUUAUAAUGAUUUUGAUUCACAUGUUUAUGAUUCUCAUGCCAUGUUUGCUUCUAGUUCUUCCUAUAAGCAUGAUAGAGAUAUGUGUAAGAGAAAUGUUAUGCAUAUGCCUAGGAGAAAUUUUGCUCAUAUUCCUAGAAAAAUUGUGAACAAACCUUCCACCAUUUAUUAUGCUUGCAAUGCUCCCUUUGCUAUUUGUAGAAAGGGUAAGAAGGUAAUUGCUAGGAAGUUAGGGGCAAAAUGCAAGGGAGACAAAACUUGCAUUUGGGUCCCUAAGGAAAUUUGCACUAACCUUGUAGGACCCAACAAGAGUUGGGUACCUAAGUCCCAAGCCUAAAUUUGCCUUGCAGGUUUAUGCAUCCGGGGGUUCAAGCUGGAUUAUCGACAGCGGAUGCACAAACCAUAUGACGGGGGAGAAGAAGAUGUUCACUUCCUACGUCAAGAAUAAGGAUUCCCAAGAUUCAAUUAUAUUCGGUGAUGGGAAUCAAGGCAAGGUAAAAGGGUUAGGUAAAAUUGCAAUUUCUAAUGAGCAUUCUAUCUCUAAUGUAUUUUUAGUAGAGAGUCUUGGAUAUAAUUUGCUAUCUGUUAGUCAAUUAUGUCAUAUGGGGUAUAACUGUCUAUUUACAAAUGUAGAUGUGUCUGUCUUUAGAAGAAGUGAUGGUUCACUAGCUUUUAAGGGUGUAUUAGACGGCAAACUUUAUUUAGUUGAUUUUGCAAAAGAAGAGGCCGGUCUAGAUGCAUGCUUAAUAGCUAAGACUAGCAUGGGCUGGCUGUGGCAUCGCCGCUUAGCACAUGUGGGAAUGAAGAACCUUCACAAGCUUCUAAAGGGAGAACACGUGAUAGGUUUGACUAACGUGCAUUUCGAAAAAGAUAGACCUUGUGCAGCUUGUCAAGCAGGUAAACAAGUGGGAGGAGCACAUCACAGCAAGAAUAUGAUGACCACUUCAAGACCUCUGGAGCUGCUGCAUAUGGACCUCUUCGGACCCGUCGCCUAUCUGAGCAUAGGAGGGAGUAAGUAUGGUUUAGUUAUUGUUGAUGACUUUUCCCGCUUCACUUGGGUGUUCUUUUUGCAGGAUAAGUCUGAAACCCAAGGGACCCUCAAGCGCUUCCUCAGGAGAGCUCAAAAUGAGUUUGAGCUCAAGGUGAAGAAGAUAAGAAGCGACAACGGGUCCGAGUUCAAGAACCUUCAAGUGGAGGAGUUCCUUGAGGAGGAAGGGAUCAAGCACGAGUUCUCCGCUCCCUAUACACCACAGCAAAAUGGUGUGGUAGAGAGGAAGAACAGGACGCUAAUCGACAUGGCGAGGACUAUGCUUGGAGAGUUCAAGACCCCCGAGCGUUUUUGGUCGGAAGCCGUGAACACGGCUUGCCACGCCAUCAACAGGGUCUACCUUCACCGCCUCCUCAAGAAGACGUCAUAUGAGCUUCUAACCGGUAACAAACCCAAUGUAUCGUACUUUCAUGUAUUUGGGAGCAAGUGCUACAUUCUAGUGAAGAAGGGUAGAAAUUCAAAAUUUGCUCCCAAAGCUGUAGAAGGGUUUUUGUUAGGUUAUGACUCAAAUACAAAGGCGUAUAGAGUCUUCAACAAAUCAUCGGGUUUGGUUGAAGUUUCUAGCGACGUUGUAUUUGAUGAGACUAAUGGCUCUCCAAGAGAGCAAGUUGUUGAUUGUGAUGAUGUAGAUGAAGAAGAUGUUCCGACGGCCGCUAUACGAACCAUGGCAAUUGGAGAAGUGCGGCCACAGGAACAAGAUGAACGAGAUCAAACAUCUUCCCCAACUAUGGUGCUACCCCCAACUCAAGACGAUGAACAGGUUCAUCAACAGAAGGCGUGUGAUCAAGGGGGAGCACAAGAUGAUCUUGUGAUGGAGGAAGAUGCGCAACCAGCACCUCCAACCCAAGUUCGAGCAAUGAUUCAAAGGGAUCAUCCCGUCGACCAAAUUCUGGGUGACAUUAGCAAGGGAGUAACUACUCGAUCUCGAUUAGUUAAUUUUUGCGAGCAUUACUCCUUUGUCUCUUCUAUUGAGCCUUUCAGGGUAGAGGAGGCCUUGCUAGAUCCGGACUGGGUGUUGGCCAUGCAGGAGGAGCUCAACAACUUCAAACGCAAUGAAGUUUGGACACUGGUGCCUCGUCCCAAGCAAAAUGUUGUGGGAACCAAGUGGGUGUUUCGCAACAAACAAGACGAGCACGGGGUGGUGACAAGGAACAAGGCCAGACUUGUGGCAAAAGGUUAUGCCCAAGUCGCAGGUUUGGACUUUGAGGAGACCUUUGCUCCUGUGGCUAGGCUAGAGUCUAUUCGUAUCUUGCUAGCAUAUGCCGCUCACCACUCUUUCAGGUUGUUCCAAAUGGAUGUGAAGAGCGCUUUCCUCAACGGACCGAUCAAGGAGGAGGUAUACGUGGAGCAACCCCCUGGCUUCGAGGAUGAACGGUACCCCGACCACGUAUGUAAGCUCUCUAAGGCGCUCUAUGGACUUAAGCAAGCCCCAAGAGCAUGGUAUGAAUGCCUUAGAGAUUUCUUAAUUGCUAAUGCUUUCAAGGUUGGGAAAGCCGAUCCAACUCUUUUUACUAAGACUUGUAAUGGUGAUUUGUUUGUGUGCCAAAUAUAUGUCGAUGACAUAAUAUUUGGUUCGACUAACCAAAAGUCUUGUGAAGAGUUUAGCAGGGUGAUGAUGCAGAAAUUCGAGAUGUCGAUGAUGGGCGAGUUGAACUACUUCCUUGGGUUCCAAGUGAAGCAACUCAAGGACGGCACUUUCAUCUCCCAAACGAAGUACACGCAAGACUUGCUAAAGAGGUUUGGGAUGAAGGACGCCAAGCCCGCAAAGACGCCGAUGGGAACCGACGGACACACAGACCUCAACAAAGGAGGUAAGUCCGUUGAUCAAAAAGCAUACCGGUCAAUGAUAGGUUCUUUGCUUUAUUUAUGUGCUAGUAGACCGGAUAUUAUGCUUAGCGUAUGCAUGUGUGCUAGAUUUCAAUCCGAUCCUAAGGAGUGUCACUUAGUGGCGGUGAAGCGAAUUCUUAGAUAUUUAGUUGCUACGCCUUGCUUCGGGCUCUGGUAUCCAAAGGGGUCUACCUUUGACUUGGUUGGAUACUCAGACUCCGACUAUGCUGGAUGUAAGGUCGAUAGGAAAAGUACAUCAGGGACGUGCCAAUUCUUAGGAAGGUCCCUGGUGUCAUGGAAUUCUAAGAAACAAACCUCUGUUGCCCUAUCCACCGCUGAGGCCGAGUACGUUGCCGCAGGUCAGUGUUGCGCGCAACUACUUUGGAUGAGGCAAACCCUCCGGGACUUUGGCUACAAUCUGAGCAAAGUCCCACUCCUAUGUGACAAUGAGAGUGCUAUCCGCAUGGCGGAAAAUCCUGUUGAGCACAGCCGCACAAAGCACAUAGACAUCCGGCAUCACUUUUUGAGAGACCACCAGCAAAAGGGAGAUAUCGAAGUGUUUCAUGUUAGCACCGAGAACCAGCUAGCCGAUAUCUUCACUAAGCCUCUAGAUGAGAAGACCUUUUGCAGGUUGCGUAGUGAGCUAAAUGUCUUAGAUUCGCGGAACUUGGAUUGAAUUAUAGCAUACAUGUGUUUAUGCCCUUGAUCAGGUUCAUUCUGCAUUUUGUUGCUUAUUGUGGUGCUCAAGUUGUACAAACACUCCCUGGACCUCACAAGUCCGUUGCAAAGUGCUGCACAUGUUUAGGGGGAGAUGUGCUACAACUUGACCCUUUCGAGACUAACCAUGUGCUUGAGUUUGAUGAUUUAGUCUCGAAGGAGAAUUGAAAGGGAAAAGGUGGACUUGGAUCAUGAAAGACUUCCACUGCACUCCGAUGAGAGGGUAACUUAUUCCAAGUUCAUCUUUAGACUCUUAUUGCCUUUGUAUUCUUAUUGAAGAUUUUGGUGAGGCAAUGGGGUUAAAGGGCCAAGAUUGAUCCCGUUUUGGUGCUUGAUGCCAAAGGGGGAGAAAAUAAAGGCCAAAGUGAUAAAUGGAUCAGCUACCACUUGAGAGAUUUUGAAAAUAGUAGAAUAGAGUUUUUGUUUUGUUAAACUCUUUUAUUGUCUCUCUUGUCAAAAGUUGGCUUCGUGUGGGGAGAAAUGUUGAUUAUGGGAAAUAGGGGGAGUUUUUGAAAUCUUUGAUCAAUCUCUUUUGGAAUGACUCUCUUUAUGCCUCAAUAUGUGUGUUUGACAUAGAGAUAGAGAUUUGAGUUUGAUUUGCAAAAACAAACCAAGUGGUGGCAAAGGAUGAUCCAUAUAUGCCAAAAUUGAAUCAAAAUCAAUUUGAGUUUUAUUUGAAGUGAUUUUGCACUUGUUCUAGUUGCUUUAUGUUGUGUUGGCAUAAAUCACCAAAAAGGGGGAGAUUGAAAGGGAAAUGUGCCCUUGGGCCAUUUCUAAGUAUUUUGGUGAUUGGGUGUCAACACAAGUGCUUAAAUGUGAAUCAAUGCCCAUGGAUGAACAAAGUGAAAAUCUAGAGCAAAGGUAUGUUUCUAAGUCUUAGUACAUUGGUUUUGUGUACUAAUAUAUUUGUCUAAGUGUUAGAAACAGAAAGAAGAAGAGAAGAGAAGACUUGGCUGUGUACAGCCAAGAGGCUGUUUCGGUCUGGGGCACCGGACUGUCCGGUGGUGCACCGGACAGUGUCCGGUGCGCCAGGCUGCCCCGGCCGAAGAGGCCGCUCUCGGGAAUUCGCCGACGGCGUACGGCUAAAAUUCACCGGACUGUCCGGUGUACACCGGACUGUCCGGUGAGCCAACGGUCGGCCGGGCCAACGGUCGGCCGCGCGAUCUGCGCGGGACACGUGGCCGAGCCAACGGUCGGGAAGGGGCACCGGACUGUCCGGUGCGCCAACGGCUCCCGCAUCUGCAACGGUCGACUGUGCUGUUUAAGGAAGGAAAUCGGGCACCGGACAGUGUCCGGUGUGCACCGGACUGUCCGGUGCGCCCGACGACAGAAGGCAAGAUCAGCCUUCCAGAUUUGCUCUCAACGGCUCCUAGCUGCCUUGGGGCUAUAAAAGGGACCCCUAGGCGCAUGGAGGAGAAAUCCAAGCAACCUUUGAGCAUUCUUGAUCAUCCACACUCAGUCUUUGCGCAUCCGUUUGUUAUUCUAAGUGAUUCGAGCUCCGUUCUUGUGAGAACUGUGAGAUAGUCUUUGAGCUCGAUUCUUGGCCGUGUGUGUGCGCAUUUUGCUGUGGAUUUGUGUGUGUUGCUUCCCUCCCUUACUCCGUAUUUCUUUGUGAAUCUCAAGUAUAAGGGCGAGAGACUCCAAGUUGUGGAGAUUCCUUGCAAACGGGAAAUUGAAAGGAAAAGCAUAACACUGUGGUAUUCAAGUUGAUCAUUGGAUCACUUGAGAGGAGUUGAGUGCAACUCUCGUCCGUUGGGACGCCACAACGUGGAGUAGGCAAGUUUUGUACUUGGCCGAACCACGGGAUAAAUCACUGUGUCUUCUCUGUGUUGAACUUCUUGUGGUUAUCAUAUUGUGCAAGAUCUUCUCUUUAGCCACUUGGCAUUAACUGUGCUAACGCUUAAUCAAAGUUUUGUGGCUUAAGUUUUGAAGUAUACAGGAUCACCUAUUCACCCCCCCCUCUAGGUGCUCUCAGGAAGCCGUAGAAUUUUUCCAGGAUGUUUGCACUAAGCAAAAAGCUCAACUUAAAACUUUGAAAAAUAAGUUGGUUAGCUCUCAAAAUGAUUACAAAGGUUUGCUAGAAAAAUUUGAAACUUUUGCAAACUUAAAUAGUGAGCUAUCAACUAAAAUUGAGCUAUUAGAAUCUAGUGCUCCAUCCACUGCUACCGAUGAUAGCCUUAUUAAAAAGAAUGAAAAACUUAAGGCUAAGUUAGCUAGCUCCCAAGAAGCUAUUGAAAAUUUGCUAGAGAAAAUGGAAAUUCUUAGCAUACACAACAAUGAGCUAACUACUAAGCUAGAAAACAUUGGUAGCACCCCAGCAGCAUCUUUAGUUGAAAUACCUGAAAUAAUUAAGAAAGAUGCUUCUACUUCCUGCUUUGAUUUAAUUGAUGAUUCUAACCCCUGCAACCAAGUCGUUGUUGAGAAUAUUGUUGUAGAGACAUGUACGGAUGAGGUUGCAAAGGAAAAUGAACAAUUAAAGCAAGAAGUGGCUCGCCUUGGCAAGGCUUUGUAUGACAAGAAAGGCAAAGCCAAACAAAUCCAACCUCCACAGGAUAACACCACUGCGGGAGUGAACAAGCCUAUGGAGGGAGAAACUGUGAUUUGUAGGCUAUGCCACAAGGAAGGCCACAAGUCUUUCCAAUGCAAGGCGAUGACCGGGGAUAAACAAAGACAAAAGCUCAAGCAAAAGCCAUCAAGCAAAAUCUCAAACACCUACAUCAAAAAGGUGAACAAAAAGGAUGCUACACCAUAUUUGAUCAAGAAGAAAAAUAACGGAAAGGUGAUAGCAAUCAAGGCCAACAAGCAAGCCAACAAAGGAAAGAGGGCCAAACGCAUCUGGGUGCCAAAGGAGAUAAUUUCAACCAUGAAAAGCAUCAAGAAGGUUUGGAUCCCGAAAGGGAAGUGAGUGGACCGAAGGUCCUCGGGAAAUUUGGAGACUUGGCUAAAUUGGGAUGUAUAUCAUGGGAUACAUCAUAUUGGAUCAAGUUUAUUGCCAAGUGGGUUAGUGAAAAUUUUGGACCCAAAUUUCCCACCCAUGACUAAGGUAACUAGUUUUAUUGUAUUUCUCGUUUUUAGAUAUGCGUAUCUAUUUAUCUUUUAUCUAGUUUACCUUUCUUGCCUAGUAUUACAUUUGUUAUGUACUUUUGUUCAAAAUCAUGCAUACUAGGUAAAUCAUAUGGUAGGAUUGCUAGUUUUUAAAUUCAUAUAAUUAAGCAAACCUACAUGGCUUAAAAUGUUUAGUUAAAGCACGACACAUAGCUUUUAUAUCACUCCAUAGUAAAUGAUGCAUCAAUUGAAAAUUUUGAUUUCUACAAAGUGUAUCAUUUAACUUAUAUGUGCCAAAGUUUGGAUUAUGGAUAAUUUGCCCCUCUUGAUAUCAAAUCAAAGUGCAUGUCUCCUACAAGUAUUCAAAACUUGUAUGCACACCUUUAGGGGGAGGUUACUCUAUAAUCUAACACUUUGAGACUAACACCUUUUCAAGUCUAUUUCAUGUGAUAGUCUCAUUGUAAGGAAAAUGAAGUCCCCGGAGAAAGACAACAAUCUUCCACUGCAAAAUCUCCAAGAACUCUCAUGUCUCUCAAGCUCGCCAUUGACUUUCAAUUGGUAUCUUUUGAGACUAUAUCUAGUACCAUUUACAUGUCUUCUCCAAAAUUUGAUUAGACUAUAUUUCAUAUCAUAUGCUUCCAUGUUGCAAAAAUGCAUAAGUAGUUAACUCAUAUUCUGUUACCUAUGCAUAAGGGAAGUUAGUCUUUUCAAAUCAUGUCUUGCACCUCUAAUUUUCACAUGUCUUUUCCUAAGUAGAGGAUCUCUGUCAGGGGGAGUAUUUCUUCAUCUCUAAAGGGGGAGAAACUUCUUUCUAAAGAGAACACUCAUUUAGGGGGAGUAAUCCUUUCAACUGAUAUCAUUCAUAUUGUUUAUUUUAAUAUCCUUCUAGUGGUAUCAUUUGAUAGAUUUCUUGAUGAGGGCAAGCUUUUAUUUACUUCCUACAUGCUUUUAAUGUCUUCCUUUUCGGUGGUUGAUGCCAAAGGGGGAGAAGUUUAGGGACCAAAGCAAUGAAAACUAUAUCAAACACCAAACACCACCAAUUUAAAAUUUUAUAUCUCCAAAUGACUUUUUCAAGUGGUUUUGGUUAUUUGGUCCAAAAAUAGGAAGUAAGUGAAUUAUGGAGUUAGGGGGAGGCUUAAGUCCAUAAUAUCACAUUGUGGGGACAAUCAUGCAUCUUAGCAAGUAGAUUGCAUAUUUUCACUCAAAUACUUGUAUUAUUUGCUUGCUUUGGUUGUGUUGUCAUCAAUCACCAAAAAGGGGGAGAUUGUAAGGAAAAUGGACCCUGAGCCAUUUGGCUAAUUGAGUUUUGGUGUUUGAUGAACAACACAAUCCGUGAACUAAUAAGUUUUCUAGUGUUUGUGUUUGUAGUUCACAGGAUGCGAAGAGAAUUGGACCAAGGCAAUGAGGAUGCAACACCUCAAAAGAAGACAUAAAAAGAUGCAUAGGAGUCCAAUACUCAAGAACAAAGAAGCCCGAAGAAAUCAGCGAAGAAAUCCAAGAUAAGGGCGGUCAGCCAGCGCCUGGUGACGCACCGGACUGUCCGGUGAGGCACCGGACAGUCUGCGCAGAGAGGCCGCAGACAGGCGCUCUCUGGCUGUAGCACCGGACUGUCCGGUGUGCACCGGACUGUCCGGUGUGCCAACGGGCAGACGGCAACGGUCGGAUCCAACGGUCGACUGCUACAGGCGCCAACGGUCGGCUGACGUGGCGUGCACCGGACAUCUACUGUGCAGUGUCCGGUGGUGCACCGGACUGUCCGGUGCACCCGACGACAGAAAGCUGCUGCUUUCUGUCCAACGGCUAGUUUGGGGUGUGGAGGCUAUAAAUACCACCCCAACCGGCCAUUCUCAAGGGUGGGAGCCCAAGCAACAUACCAAGGCAUAUUGUAGACAUUUCCAAGUGCUCAAACACCCAAGUGCUUAAUAGAAUCACUCGGUGAUUAGCGUAGGUGCUUUGCGAAGUGCUUAGGUUAGUUAGACCGCAUUAGCGCUUGCUCUAGGUGAAUCCUAGUUUGUUGAGUGAGUUUAGACAAACCACAAUCCCUCGGCUCUUGCGUGGGCCAUUGUAAUUGUACCGAGUGGGGCGAGAGUCUUGCGAGACCGUGACAACCGCGUUUGUGUCACGGCCGCCACCGUGUACCGGAGGGAACGAGGCCCGUGGCGUUUCGGCCGGAAGCUCGAUAGUGGAGACGGCGGGGAGCGUCCGAGAGGAGCCAGAAGCGGAGCACCACUGGCGCGUGGAGAAGGCCCGCGGCUCUCUACGGAGUUACUCGACCGUGGUGCUUGGCCCUCGCGUGGGCUUCCCUUUGCGUAGGGGCACCAACGAGGAUUAGUCGGGACCUUGCGUGGUUCCGGAUACCUCGGUAAAAAUACCGGCGUCUUCCACGAGAGUUUGCUUCUCUACUUAGCUCUUUACAUUCCGCAUUUAUAUUAAGCAUUUAAGUUUCAAUCUUAUUGUCAUACUUAUUUAGUGUAGAUUGAAACUUAGCCUUUGCGGUAGAGAUAACAACACUUAGACAAAACCGAGUUUGCACAUUCUAGUUUUGAUUAUUUGCACAGGUUUUGCUCUAGGGAUUUUAUUGUGGCCUAGUUUAGUAAAAGUUUUAGAAGUCCUAAUUCACCCCCCUCUUAGGCGUCACCCGUUUCCUAUAAUCAUCAUCAUCAUCAUCAUCAUCAUCAUCAGCUGUUGUACCCUGAGUGUCAAACUGUCGAAGAGCUGCAUCCUCGGCCUGAGAGUCAAACACAGAAGCAGAAGCUGGCACAGGAAUCUCAGGAGCAGGACGAUAGGAUCCAAAAACUAGGCGAGAGGCCUCAAGGGUGCUCUAAAAUCGAGGGGGCUGAAUCAGCUGCGCAAAGAUGUGGCACAAGUAGUGAGCAUAAGGCAACUGCCGACGAGCACGAAUCCCAUCCAGAACGGUGUCCUCGAUCUCACAAAUCAGGAAGUCCACAACGUCAAACUCAGAGUGGGAGACCAGGGCACCAAGGAGCCAAAGCUGAAUAUGAGUGGUAGCCUCCCUGUAUCCCAUCCUCGGCAGAAGAGUCCGUCUGAUGAGCUCAUAUAAGUACUUUGCUGUUGUAGUAAAGUCUGCUGGUGAACGUCGCGACCCAUCUGUGAAAGGCGGGCAGAACAGAGCCGCGACGUGAGCUGUCCCUGGAGCCACACCGCCGUGAGGGCGACGAGGAAGGUCAGAAGUGCCGUAGCAGAGGCUGUGAAGGCGAGUCGGCGACUCUGGGAAUCCAAAGAGCUGACGGAUCUGACUGGCAGUAAUUGUGACAUCCUCUCGCUCAAAGCGGAACCUCAUCCAGUGAUGAUCCGGGUCAAUCCAAACAGAGGCGUAGAAGACUCGGACCCACUCCUCAACAUAUCUGCCGCUGAUAGUCAGAAGGGUCUGAAGGCCAGGCAGAUAGGUGAGAUGCGCCUUAGAGUCAGCACCGGCUGCAAGCAGAAAGGCUGGAAGAUCCAAAAGCCGGUGCACUCGCAGAGCUAUCUGAGCAGACAUCUGAGCUCUGAAGAAUGACUCCUGAAUCCGUGUGCUGAAAAGAUCACCUGCUGCAGGGUCUCUCUGAGCUGGUAGCCAAGACUCCACGGGUACGUACCUGAACCGACGUACCCGUGCCGCAGUAGCACGCUGAAGAUCAAACAGACGAGGAUCCGAAACCAGAGGACGGACCUCAGUCUCAUCACGCUCCCGGAAUCGAGGUGGAGGGACAGGAGGAGCUGAAGCGGGAGCGGGAGCAGGGGAAGCAGUGGAAGCUGGCGUAGAGGAGGUAGUGGGUAUGGCUGUGGAGGUGGAUGGAGCAAUAGGAGUGACGGGAGCAGGCAGAGUGGGUGGCGGAGUGGAAGCGGAGGUGUGAGAGGAGGAGCGAGGCCGGGAGGUGAGACGACGAGCACGGAAUGCAAUCUGAUCGGAUGGAGUCUGUGGCUGAUCUCCAAGUGCGGCCUGCGCAGCGGCUGCUGCAGCUGCUGCCGCUGCACGGGCUUCUCUGUCCGUACGCCGCUUCUUGCGGCCUUCCUGCAGCUCUAAGUAAACAGUCUUGCCCUUGACCUGCCUGAAAGGGUGAGAGCACCUAGAGGGGGGUGAAUAGGUGAUCCUGAAUAACUUAAAAACUUAAGCCACAAAACUUUGAUUAAGCGUUAGCACAGUUAAUGCCACGUGGCUAGAGAGAAGAUCUUGCACAAUACGAUAACCACAAGGAAUUCAACACAGAGAAGACACAGUGAUUUAUCCCGUGGUUCGGCCAAGUACAAAACUUGCCUACUCCACGUUGUGGCGUCCCAAUGGACGAGAGUUGCACUCAACUCCUCUCAAGUGAUCCAAUGAUCAACUUGAAUACCACAGUGUUAUGCUUUUCUUUUCUUAUCGCGUUCGCGAGGAAUCUCCACAACUUGGAGUCUCUCACCCUUACACUUGAAGUUCACAAAGAAGCACGGAGUAAGGGAGGGAAGCAACACACACAAAUCCACAGCAAAAUGCGCACACACACGACCAAGAAUCGAGCUCAAAAGACUAUCUCAAAGUUCUCACUAGAACGGAGCUCGAAUCACUGAGAAUGACAAACGAAUGCGCAAAGACUGAGUGUGGAUGAUCAAGAAUGCUCUAAGGUUGCUUGGUGUUCUCCUCCAUGCGCCUAGGGGUCCCUUUUAUAGUCCCAAGGCAGCUAGGAGCCGUUGAGAACAAAUCUGGAAGGCCAUCCUUGCCUUCUGUCGUCGGGCGCACCGGACAGUCCGGUGCACACCGGACAGUGUCCGGUGCCCGAUUUCCUUCCUUAAAUAGCGGAGCCGACCGUUGGCGGCCUUGGAGCCGUUGGCGCACCGGACAUGUCAGGUGCACACCGGACAGUCCGGUGCCCCCUUCUAGCCGUUGGCUCGGCCACGUGUCCCGCGCAGAUCGUGUGGCCGACCGUUGGCCCGGCCGACCGUUGGCUCACCGGACAGUCCGGUGCACACCGGACAGUCCGGUGAAUUUUAGCCGUACGAUGUCGGCGAAUUCCCGAGAGCGGCCACUUCACACCGAGUCAGCCUGGCGCACCGGACACUGUCCGGUGCACCACCGGACAGUCCGGUGUGCCAGACUGAGCUGAGUCUUGGCUGUACACAGCCAAGCCUUUUUCACCUCUUCUCUUUUCUUCUUCUUUCUAUUUCUAACACUUAGACAAGUAUAUUAGUACACAAAACCAAUGUACUAAGGCUUAGAAACAUACCUUUACUCUUGAUUUGCACUUUGUUCAUCCAUGAACAUAAAUUCUCAUUUAAGCACUUGUGUUGGCACUCAAUCACCAAAAUACUUAGAAAUGACCCAAGGACACAUUUCUCUUUCAAUCUCCCCCUUUUUGGUGAUUUAUGCCAACACAACAUAAAGCAACUAGAACAAGUGCAAAAUCACUCACUACAAGAAACUGGUUAAAGAACGUGGGUGAAAAACCGUCGAACUUAAUGUAAUAAGCCGUCGAACUUACCGUAAGAACGUGGGUUUACCGACGAAUAUAGUCGACGGCGAUUUUUGGACGAACUUAAAGAAGUAAGUUCGACGGCCCCGUCGAAUUUUUUCCCAUAAGUUCGACGGCACCCACGUUCUUAAGGUUAAGUUCGACGGGGUCACGUGGCCGUCGAGCUUAUGUGUCCUGCGUGGAGCUGCUAGAACUGCACAAUAAGUUCGACGGUACCCACGUUCUUAAACUUAAGAACGUGGGUACCCACGUUCUUAACCCUACACGCGUCUGCGAGGACUGCACAAUAAGUUCGACGGCACCCACGUUCUUAACCUUAAGAACAUGGGUACCCACGUUCUUAACCCUUUUCCAGAAAAAAUAAAAAAUACAAAAAUGAAAAAUUAGACACACAUAAUAUCACAUGCAACACAAUAUAUCACAUACAAUACAGAUUUCAAACACAUUGAUAUAUGUUCAUAUCACAAAUUCGCACAAGUCCAAAUAUAUAAGUUCACAAAUUCACAUAAGUCCAAAUACAUAAGCUUGGUUCACGCAAGGGCCAAGUGCACUCUAUAAGUUGGUUCUUUACCACUCCGGUAUGGUGAAUCAUUCACAACCGUGUACAAUUCUGAGUUAGAUCACUCACAAGCUCUCUUGGUGAUUACUGCACUUUUGAUCACAAUCGAUCCAUCUAGAUGAUGUCGAUCACCAAGAGUAAUAAAAAACAAACUAUCACUUAACUUUAACAAGACCAAAGAGAUCAAUGGGUGCUCUAUGCGGUAACGAGGCUGCUAAUCAAGCGAUUUCCAACUACAGUAGCGUCUACUCCUUACAUCCCGAAGAAUUUAGAGAGGCGUACCGGGCCUUCCUCCUCGCUUUCACUGCCUCUGCGCUUGGACUUUGACCGGCUCUUCUUUUCCUUGUUCUCUUUGAUCUCGACCGUGAUCUGGACUUCCUUGAACUCUCAUCGUCGCUGCUUGAAGAUUCUGAAGAUGAGCUGGAACUUGACUCUGAUGAACUUUUGUGCUGUUAAAGAUUUAAAGGUGAGGGCGUCAAACAAAUUUUAAGUAAGCAAAGUACCUAGAACAGAGUUAUCAUAACUAAAUAUAUUUCCAUUAGGUAAAUCGCAACAAUUUCACAAAUAGGCAGCAGGUCAUAAGCUAGAGUAUACCCUUCUCUUUUUACUUCUUUUCUUUGCGUCCUUAUCCUUCCUCUCUGUUUUCAAACUUCUUUUGUCAGAAGAGCCAUAUAAUAGAUGCAAUAUAUUUAUAUUUGAGGAAUGGCAAGUGAUGGAAAUACUCUUUUGUCAGCAAUAUAUUUAUAAUCAUUAAAUCAAGUAAGGUGGUAGCUUGUUGGCCCUUUGGCAAGCGACCAAGAUGUCCUGGUAGUACACCCUUCUGUAGGUUCCCAAAGUAAUUAGCACGGCCUUCAGCUGACCCGUGCAUUAGAGUAGAUGUAGGCCAAGAAAAGUAUGCAGCGCUGCUUUCAGAGUGCUGACCAGCUGAGGCAAUUGGUUGGAGAGGAUAUGGACAAUAAAUAUGAUUGCAUCCGUUCCUCUCCAUAUCCAGACCCGAACCCUCUGACUGUGAUGAACCAGCAUGCGCCUUCCAAAUAUCUGAGGGCAAAAAUGAUCAGAGGCUAGGGUUAGACAAACGGCAAAAGUCCAUAUUAAAAAGCUGUACACAAAACCAAUAUAGAAAAGGAACUUUAAAUAUCAAUAUCACUGUAAUUAGAAGUGCAUAACAGGAAGUGGUUAGAAAAAAUACUUGGGAUUUACAAAUUCAGAAAUGGCGCCAUGUGUUUUCUUGAGCUCCUCAAUAUAUGGUCCAAGCUCCAGUAUCAACUACAAAAGCUCAAUGUCUUUCUUAGUACAACAAAAUAUGCACCUUGAACGUAACAUCAUAUAACAAUGUUGACAGAGUUCUGUCCAGUUUUAAAAGCAGGACAAUCAUUAAUAGACGGUUCAUGGUUCACCCUCAUCCGAAGGGGAAUAUCAAUAAGACAUGUUUUCAGUAUUUGGUGAACCAAGAGCCACAGAUCACUUGCCGUGUCUGAACUCAUGGUAAAUUAUCCCUUUGGAACAAAUAGUUUACCUGGUUUAUAUUUCCAGGAUAUGGAGAAUAGCCUGUCUCGCAAUUUGAAUCUCCAUCAGGAUGUCCAGUUGCACGAAGGAGUGGAUCAAGCUGAUUGUACUCUACGUUGAUGACCAUUGUUCUACCUGAGCACAAUAAUGGAGUUAUGACAAAUUUGACAAAAUCGUACCAUCAGUGGCUAAAAGAAGUGAUGUAUUCUUUUGUUCAAGGUAAAAUAGUCUACAGGAUACUGAAAGUGACCACCCUUUGCUGGUGGACACAAAAGAUGGCCCAGUUUGCUACUAGACAUAUUUGUUCUUCUCAAAUUUGAAUAAUUCUUUUGCUAAAAAACAUCACAACGGCCCACAAUUUUUUUUGUUUAAAACUUAAAAGCCAUGAAAAGCUCAUAUCAAAUGGGUAAACAAUAGUAAAACCUACCAUCGACAUGAGUAAGUUUGGUAAUUCCUCCAAUUGUUUCCUUGGCUUUCCUAGGAACAGCGAGAGAAUUUACAUUGUAACCCUUGGUGGCACUGACACCUAAUGCUGAUGGUAUUGCCUACAAAAUAAUCAAGAAAAUCAAGUUGUUUCUCUGUAAUCAAAGGUCCCAAGCUCAAGAAAGCAGUUGGCCACAAAUAUAUAAGGAACCCUUGGAAAGGUACCAAGAGGUAUCACAAUUUACAACUAGGGGUACCCAUUUUGGUACCUUGGCACUACAAUUUGGUACCUUAGGUACCAGAUUCAUGUAAUAAUUUUGGUACCUCCCUGUACAUUUUCAAGGAUAGUAAAAAUGCUCUAUUUUAAACAAUAAAAUUAUAGCACAGUAGGGAAGCCAGUGUACAAACAUUGAAAAGCAAUCCAUUUGUAUCCUGGAAAAAGAGAACCCACUUCCGUCCUUCAGUCUUCCUAACAAAAAACACAUAGUAUAGUGACAUUAAAUUACUUCACGAUAUAUGGCUGCUAAUUAAGGAAGAAACCUCCAGUGGUGAAUUUUUUAAUUAAUGAGCAUACCAUUGUUCAAGCAAGCCACUUGAAUAAAGAAGAGAAUGAACAUCUCCAUGCCCAUGUGGCUUUGUCUGCCAAGUCACAAAACUGGUACUAAGAAAGGUGGACAGAAACUCCGUGUAUGUGGAAACCAAAUCGUGCUAUAUUCAAAUACAAUGUUACUGAUCCUGGAAUGGAAAUUUCAAACCUGAAUUUUGUACUUGUCGCUUGGGUCUAAUGCAAGCCUUGCAUCAUUGUCAGCUAGACACGCUACUUUUUCCUGAAAAUGGAAGAGAAUGUACAGUCAACACCAAAAGUAGCAGCCAUGUGCUUUGCAUAUAUAAAAGCUACAUUUUUACCAUAACUAUCACAUGAAUAGAACAAGGGAACAGAAGGAACCUGCUUUAGUAUUUUCACUUGAGAUGGUUCCAUUCCAAAGUAGGAGUUUGACUCUAAAAGCUUGAUAGUUAGCGCAUUUGUAUCAUCAGAAGUCAUAAUAACAAAUGGAAUCUUUGUUUGGCACCCCUCUGCAUGGCAGAUGAAUAACAUCAAUCAGAAUAAAGCAAGACCUGAACAUUCUCUAAGACCCAAUAGUAUUACGUGUAAAGAAUGAAACUGGCAAUAAAUCAAGUAAUUGCCAGAUACAGAGGUGCAUAAGACAAAAUAAAAUGAAACCAAGACCUUAAUGGAAAGGUUGAAAUUCAUUUGUAAGCACUAAAACAAUGAUAGGUUCCAGUUCCAUAAAGUACUUGUAAGUCAGUAAGUCACUAAUCAACUAUAGAUAAAUGUAGAGUACAUACCAUCAACCAUUUUGCAGCUGGCCUCUUGAAAAGCCAGGAUAGACUCUAUAUAGAGUUGAAGGAAACAUUUUCCAGUAGUUGUUUCCCGGGGAAGUGCUACCUGACCAAAGAAAGUAACAGAAGCACCAGUGAGAAAUUGAUGAAAAAGACUUACAGAAGGGGUGAAACCAUCAUAUGGGUUUUUGCCUUCCUUUGAAUCCGCAAGAAGUUUUUUGGCAUUCUGGAUGUAAGAUACCAGACCUCCAGGAUAGCUUGAAUUAAGUCGGCGAACCUAAGAUAAUAGCACAAAAUUAGAAUAAAAGGGAAAAAAACUUUAUACAUUUGUGCUUAUGAAUUCCUUGCAUAUAUUAUAGUGCUACUCCAUUGACAAACAAGAGACAUCUUGGACAUCGGAACGUCUUCAUAACAUAAUUUUACUAACAAUUUUGUUAUAAAACAUUUGUAGAACAUAGAAAAUGAACAGACCUUGUGGCAGCGGUGGUAGUCGUGGCACUUGCGGUCGACGGAGCACUCCGCCCAGCUCCCCCACUCCCGGGACGACGACGCAGCAUCAGACGAGCGAAUCGAGAAGUGGUGUAGCUUCUUCACGCCGCCCGUCGUCGAUGCUGGUGGUCUUCGAGGCAAGCAAAUCGGUGUUGUUGUCGACCUCAAAAACCACCACCAGCAGAUCCCUGUCCCGCACAUCUGCUCGCCGCCCAGCGAACUUGGUGCCACUCGUCGACGCGUCCAACUCCACCGUGGCCGAUGCACUCACGGCGGAGCACCUGUUUCGUCGUGCUCGGCGCGCACACCUCUGGUUCCACCACUCGGAUUCGGGGGGUACCGGCGUUGGCGAGGCACGCAUGGAUGGAGGCGGUCUCAUCCCCGGCGGCGGUCACCAUCUAUCCAGACACAAAAAUGGCGUUGGCGCGGACAUCCUCGCGGCGAGCAGGGGUGUUGUGUGUGCACGCCAGGGGGAGGCAUCGCGUGGUGUCUACGCCGGUGGGGGAGGGUGCGGGGGCGGGAUGGUCGGGUUGGGGAGCGGGUGAGAUUUCUGGCGGCCGCCUACUUUUGAUUACGUGCUGGCCGCUUCCUCCUCGUUGUGGAGCGCGCGGGCUGGCGGCCGGCGGCGGGCGCGAGCUACUGCGAAGUGGGAAAGGAGAGGAAGAGAGACGAGCGGGGUUAGGGAUUUAGGUUUUGGGUUAAGUUCGACGGUGUUUACAUGGCCCACGUUUUUAAUUUAAGAACGUGGGUACCCACGUUUUUAAUAGGUUAAGUUCGACGGUUUUAGCUACAGCCCACGAAGUUAAUUUAAGAACGUGGGUACCCACGUUAUUAAAAAAACCCAUGAACUUAACUAAUAUAAGAACGUCGGUACCCACGUUCUUAACAAAACCCACGAACAUUUAUCAGUUUCUUGUAGUGACUUCAAAUAAAACUCAAAUUUAUUUUGAUUCAAUUUUGGCAUAUAUGGAUCAUCCUUUGCCACCACUUGGUUUGUUUUUGCAAAUCAAACUCAAAUCUCUAUCUCUAAGUCAAACACACAUGUUGAAGCAUAAAGAGAGUCAUUCCAAAAGAGAUUGAUCAAAGAUUUCAAAAACUCCCCCUAUUUCCCAUAAUCAACACUUCUCCCCACAAGAGGCCAACUUUUGACAAAAGAGACAAUGCAAGAGUUUUGACAAACCAAAAGCUCUAUUCUACUAUUUUCAAAGUUUCUCAAGUGGUAGCUGAUCCAUCUAUUGCUUUGGCCUUUAUUUUCUCCCCCUUUGGCAUCAAGCACCAAAACGAGAUCAAUCUUGGCCUUUUAACCCCAUUGCCUCACCAAAUUCUUCAAUUAAGAGCAAAUAGGCAAUAAGAGUACAUGAGAUGAACUUGGAAUAAGUUACCCUCUCAUCGGAGUGCAGUGGAAGUCUUGCAUGGUCCAAGUCCACCUUUUCCCUUUUAAUUCUCCUUCGAGACUAAAACAAGCAAACUCAAGCAUAUGGUUAGUCUCAAAGGGUCAAGUUGUAACACAUCUCCCCUUAAAACUAUGCAUCACUUUGCAACGGACUUGUGAGGUCCAGGGAGUGUUUGUACAACUUGAGCACCAUACUAAACAACAAAAUGCAGAAUGAACAUGAUCAAGGGCAUAAACACAUGUAUGCUACAAUUCAAUCCAAGUUCCGCGAAUCUAAGACAUUUAGCUCACUACGCAACCUGCAAAAGGUCUUCUCAUCUAGAGGCUUGGUAAAGAUAUCGGCUAGCUGGUUCUCGGUGCUAACAUGAAACACUUCGAUAUCUCCCUUUUGCUGGUGGUCUCUCAAAAAGUGAUGCCGGAUGUCAAUGUGCUUUGUGCGGCUGUGUUCAACAGGAUUUUCCGCCAUGCGGAUAGUCAUUAUCACAUAGGAGUGGGACUUUGCUCAGAUUGUAGCCAAAGUCCCGGAGGGUUUGCCUCAUCCAAAGUAGUUGCGCGCAACACUGUCCUGCGGCAACAUACUCGGCCUCAGCGGUGGAUAGGGCAACAGAAGUUUGUUUCUUAGAGUUCCACGACACCAGGGACCUUCCUAAGAAUUGGCACGUCCCCGAUGUACUCUUCCUAUCGACCUUACAUCCAGCAUAGUCGGAAUCUGAGUAUCCAACCAAGUCAAAGGUAGACCCCUUUGGAUACCAGAGCCCGAAGCAAGGCGUAGCAACCAAAUAUCUAAGAAUUCGCUUCACCGCCACUAAGUGACACUCCUUAGGAUCGGAUUGAAAUCUAGCACACAUGCAUACGCUAAGCAUAAUAUCUGGUCUACUAGCACAUAAAUAAAGUAAAGACCCUAUCAUUGACCGGUAUGCUUUUUGAUCAACGGACUUACCUCCUUUGUUGAGGUCGGUGUGUCCGUCGAUCCCCAUCGGAGUCUUUGCGGGCUUGGCGUCCUUCAUCCCAAACCGCUUUAGCAGAUCUUGCGUGUACUUCGUUUGGGAGAUGAAGGUACCGUCCUUGAGUUGCUUCACUUGGAACCCAAGGAAGUAGGUCAACUCGCCCAUCAUUGACAUCUCGAAUUUCUGUGUCAUCACCCUGCUAAACUCUUCAUAAGACUUUUGGUUAGUAGAACCAAAUAUUAUGUCAUCGACAUAAAUUUGGCACACAAACAAAUCACCAUCACAUGUCUUUGUAAAAAGAGUUGGAUCAGCUUUCUCAACCUUGAAAGCAUUAGCAAUUAAAAAGUCUCUAAGGCAUUCAUACCAUGCUCUUGGGGCUUGCUUAAGUCCAUAGAGCGCCUUAGAGAGCUUACACACGUGGUCGGGGUACCGUUCAUCCUCAAAGCCAGGGGGUUGCUCUACGUACACCUCCUCCUUGAUCGGCCCAUUUAGGAAAGCGCUCUUCACAUCCAUUUGGUACAACCUGAAAGAAUGGUGAGCGGCAUAUGCUAGCAAGAUACGAAUGGACUCUAGCCUAGCCACAGGAGCAAAAGUCUCCUCAAAGUCCAAACCUGCGACUUGGGCAUAACCUUUUGCCACAAGUCGAGCCUUGUUCCUUGUCACCACUCCGUGCUCGUCUUGUUUGUUGCGAAACACCCACUUGGUUCCCACAACAUUUUGCUUAGGACGAGGCACCAGUGUCCAAACUUCAUUGCGCUUGAAGUUGUUGAGUUCCUCCUGCAUGGCCAACACCCAGUUCGGAUCUAGCAAGGCCUCUUCUACCCUGAAAGGCUCAAUAGAAGAGACAAAAGAGUAAUGCUCACAAAAAUUAACUAAUCUCGAGCGAGUAGUUACUCCCUUGCUAAUAUCACCCAAUAUCUGGUCGACGGGAUGAUCCCUUUGAAUCGUCGCUCGAACUUGGGUUGGAGGUGCCGGUUGCGCUUCUUCCUCCAUCAUGUGAUCAUCUUGUGCUCCCCCUUGAUCACACGCCUCCUUUUGAUGAACCUGUUCAUCGUCUUGAGUUGGGGGAUGCACCGUUGUUGAGGAAGAAGGUUGAUCUUGCUCCAAAUGUUCUUGAGGCCGUACAUCUCCAAUCGCCAUGGUGCGUAUCGCGGCCGUUGGAACGUCUUCUUCAUCUACAUCAUCAAGAUCAACAACUUGCUCUCUUGGAGAGCCAUUAGUCUCAUCAAAUACAACAUCGCUAGAGACUUCAACCAAACCCGAUGAUUUGUUGAAGACCCUAUACGCCUUUGUAUUUGAAUCAUAACCUAAUAAAAACCCUUCUACGGCUUUGGGAGCAAAUUUGGAAUUCCUACCCUUCUUCACUAGAAUGUAGCAUUUACUCCCAAAAACACGAAAAUACGAUACAUUAGGUUUGUUACCGGUUAGCAGCUCAUACGACGUCUUCUUGAGGAGGCAGUGAAGGUAGACCCUGUUGAUAGCGUGGCAAGCCGUGUUCACGGCUUCCGACCAAAAGCACUCGGGGGUCUUGAAUUCUCCAAGCAUAGUCCUCGCCAUAUCUAUGAGUGUCCUGUUCUUCCUCUCUACCACACCAUUUUGCUGAGGUGUGUAGGGAGCGGAGAAUUCGUGCUUGAUCCCCUCCUCCUCAAGAAAUUCCUCCACUUGAAGGUUCUUGAACUCGGACCCGUUGUCGCUCCUUAUCUUUUUCACUUUGAGCUCAAACUCAUUUUGAGCUCUCCUUAGGAAGCGCUUGAGGGUCCCUUGGGUUUCAGACUUAUCCUGCAAAAAGAACACCCAAGUGAAGCGGGAAAAGUCAUCAACAAUAACUAGACCAUACUUACUUCCUCCUAUGCUCAGAUAGGCGACGGGUCCGAAGAGGUCCAUAUGUAGCAGCUCCAGGGGUCUUGAUGUUGUCAUCACAUUUUUGGUGUGAUGAGAGCCUCCCACUUGUUUCCCUGCUUGACAAGCUGCACAAGGUCUAUCUUUUUCGAAAUGAACAUUAGUUAGACCUAUCACAUGUUCUCCCUUUAGAAGCUUGUGGAGGUUCUUCAUCCCCACAUGUGCUAAGUGGUGAUGCCACAGCCAGCCCAUGCAAGUCUUAGCCAUUAAGCAUGCAUCUAGACCGGCCUCUUCUUUUGCAAAAUCAACUAGGUAAAGCUUGCCGUCUAGUACACCCUUAAAAGCUAGUGAACCAUCACAUCUUCUAAAGACAGACACAUCUACAUUUGUAAACAAACAGUUAUAUCCCAUAUUGCAUAAUUGACUAACAGAUAGCAAAUUAUAUCCAAGAGACUCUACUAAAAACACAUUAGAGAUAGAGUGCUCAUUUGAGAUUGCAAUUUUACCUAACCCUUUUACCUUGCCUUGAUUCCCAUCACCGAAUAUUAUUGAAUCUUGGGAAUCUUUGUUUUUGACGUAGGAGGUGAACAUCUUCUUCUCCCCCGUCAUAUGGUUUGUGCAUCCGCUGUCAAUAAUCCAGCUUGAACCCCCGGAUGCAUAAACCUGCAAGGCAAAUUUAGGCUUGGGUCUUAGGUACCCAACUCAUGUUGGGUCCUGCAAGGUUAGCACAAAUAUCCUUAGGGACCCAAAUGCAAGUUUUGUCUCCCUUGCAUCUUGCCCCUAAUUUUCUAGCAACUAUCUUCCUAUUCUUUCUACAAAUAGCAAAAGAAGCAUUUAAAGCAUGAUAUAUUGUAGAAGGUUCAUUUACUUUCCUAGGAACAUUAACAACAUUUCUCCUAGGCAAAUUAUGAACAACAUUUCUCCUACCAACAUUUCUAUCAUGCACAUAAGAAGAACUAGAAGCAAACAUGGCAUGAGAAUCAAAGGCAUUAUAUGCAUUACAACUCCUAUAAGCAUUUCUAGAUUGUCUCCUAUCAUGAUACAUAAAAGCAUGGUUCUUUUGCACACUACUAGCCAUAGGGGCCUUUCCUUUCUCCUUGGCGGAGAUGGGGGCCUUAUGGCUUGUCAAGUUCUUGGCUUCCCUCUUGUAGCCAAGUCCAUCCUUAAUUGAGGGGUGUCUACCAAUCGUGUAGGCAUCCCUUGCAAAUUUUAGCUUGUCAAAUUCAUUCUUGCUAGUCUUAAGUUGGGCAUUAAGACUAGCUAAUUCCUCAUUUAAUUUAGAGAUUGAAACUAAAUGAUCACUACAAGCAUCAAUGUCAAAAUCUUUACACCUAUUACAAGUUUCAACAAUUUCUACACAAGAAUUAGAUUUACUAGCUACUUUUAGUUUAGCAUUUAAAUCAUCAUUAAAACUUUUUAACUUAGCAAUAGUUUCAUGACAAGAAGAUAAUUCACUAGAGUGCAUUUCAUUCCUCUUAAUUUCUAGAGCAAGAGAUUUCUGAGCUUCUACAAAUUUAUCAUGUUCUUCAUACAACAAAUCCUCUUGCUUUUCUAACAGUAUAUUCCUAUCAUUCAAGGCAUCAAUCAAUUCAUUAAUUUUGUCUACCUUAGUUCUAUCUAAUCCCUUGAAUAAGCAUGAGUAAUCUAUCUCAUCAUCAUCACUAGACUCAUCCUCACUUGAAGAAGCAUAAGUACUAGUAUUAGGAGUGCUUACUUUCUUCUCCCUUGCCAUGAGGCAAGUGUGACGCUCGUUGGGGAAGAGGGAUGACUUGUUGAAGGCAGUGGCGGCGAGUCCUUCAUUGUCUGAGUCGGACGAGGAGCAGUCCGAAUCCCACUCUUUGCCAAGAUGAGCCUCGCCCUUUGCCUUCUUAUAGUUCUUCUUUUUCUCCCUCUUGUUCCCUUGAUCCUGAUCACUAUCAUUGUCGGGACAGUUAGCAAUAAAAUGACCAAGCUUACCGCAUUUGAAGCAUGAGCGCUUCCCCUUGGCUUUGGUCUUGCUUGGUUGUCCCUUGCGAUCUUUAAGCACCGUCUUGAAUCUUUUGAUGAUGAGAGCCAUCUCUUCAUCAUUAAGUCCGGCCGCCUCAAUCUGUGCCACCUUGCUAGGUAGCGCCUCCUUGCUUCGUGUUGCCUUGAGAGCAAGAGGUUGCGGCUCGUUGAUCGGACCAUUCAAGGCGUCGUCCACGUAUCUCGCCUCCUUGAUCAUCAUUCGCCCGCUAACGAAUUUCCCAAGAACUUCUUCGGGCGACAUCUUGGUGUACCUGGGAUUUUCACGAAUAUUGUUCACUAAAUGAGGAUCAAGAACGGUAAAUGACCUUAGCAUUAGGCGGACGACGUCGUGGUCCGUCCAUCGCGUGCUCCCGUAGCUCCUUAUUUUGUUGAUAAGGGUCUUGAGCCGGUUGUAUGUUUGUGUCGGCUCCUCGCCCCUUAUCAUCGCGAACCGUCCAAGCUCGCCUUCCACCAACUCCAUUUUGGUGAGCAAGGUGACGUCGUUUCCCUCAUGAGAGAUCUUGAGGGUGUCCCAGAUCUGCUUGGCAUUGUCCAAGCCGCUCACCUUGUGAUACUCGUCCCUGCACAAAGAGGCUAGCAACACAGUAGUAGCUUGUGCAUUUUUAUGAAUCUGUUCAUUAAUAAAAACAGGGCUAUCCGAGCUAUCAAAUUUCAUUCCACUUUCCACAAUCUCCCAAAUGCUUGGAUGGAGAGAAAACAAGUGAGUACGCAUUUUGUGGCUCCAAAAUCCGUAGUCCUCUCCAUCAAAGUGAGGGGGCUUGCCAAGUGGAAUGGGGAGCAAUUGAGCAUUUGAACUAUGCGGGAUGCGCGAAUAAUCGAAAGAAAAGUUUGAGUUAACCGUCUUUCGUCUAUCGUGGUCGUCAUCGUCCUUUUGGGAGGAGGAAGAUUCGUCGUUGUCGUAGUAGACAAUUUCCUUGAUGCGCCUUGUCUUCUUCUUCCUCCCGUCUUUUCUUUUGUGGCCCGAGCCUGAGUCGGUGGGCUUGUCAUCAUUGGGCUCGUUGACGAAGGUCUCCUUCUCCUUGUCGUUGAUCACCAUCCCCUUGCCCUUAGGAUCCAUCUCUUCGGGCGGUUAGUCCCUUUCUUGAAGAGAACGGCUCCGAUACCAAUUGAGAGCACCUAGAGGGAGGGGUGAAUAGGUGAUCCUGAAUAACUUAAAAACUUAAGCCACAAAACUUUGAUUAAGCGUUAGCACAGUUAAUGCCACGUGGCUAGAGAGAAGAUCUUGCACAAUACGAUAACCACAAGGAAUUCAACACAGAGAAGACACAAUGAUUUAUCACGUGGUUCGGCCAAGUACAAAACUUGCCUACUCCACGUUGUGGCGUCCCAAUGGACGAGAGUUGCACUCAACUCCUCUCAAGUGAUCCAAUGAUCAACUUGAAUACCACAGUGUUAUGCUUUUCUUUUCUUAUCGCGUUCGCGAGGAAUCUCCACAACUUGGAGUCUCUCACCCUUACACUUGAAGUUCACAAAGAAGCACGGAGUAAGGGAGGGAAGCAACACACACAAAUCCACAGCAAAAUGCGCACACACACGGCCAAGAAUCGAGCUCAAAAGACUAUCUCAAAGUUCUCACUAGAACGGAGCUCGAAUCACUGAGAAUGACAAACGAAUGCGCAAAGACUGAGUGUGGAUGAUCAAGAAUGCUCUAAGGUUGCUUGGUGUUCUCCUCCAUGCGCCUAGGGGUCCCUUUUAUAGUCCCAAGGCAGCUAGGAGCCGUUGAGAACAAAUCUGGAAGGCCAUCCUUGCCUUCUGUCGUCGGGCGCACCGGACAGUCCGGUGCACACCGGACAGUGUCCGGUGCCCGAUUUCCUUCCUUAAAUAGCGAAGCCGACCAUUGGCGGCCUUGGAGCCGUUGGCGCACCGGACAUGUCCGGUGCACACCGGACAGUCCGGUGCCCCCUUCUAGCCGUUGGCUCGGCCACGUGUCCCGCGCAGAUCGCGCGGCCGACCGUUGGCCCGGCCGACCGUUGGCUCACCGGACAGUCCGGUGCACACCGGACAGUCCGGUGAAUUUUAGCCGUACGAUGUCGGCGAAUUCCCGAGAGCGGCCACUUCACGCCGAGUCAGCCUGGCGCACCGGACACUGUCCGGUGCACCACCGGACAGUCCGGUGUGCCAGACUGAGCUGAGUCUUGGUUGUACACAGCCAAGCCUUUUUCACCUCUUCUCUUUUCUUCUUCUUUCUAUUUCUAACACUUAGACAAGUAUAUUAGUACACAAAACCAAUGUACUAAGGCUUAGAAACAUACCUUUACUCUUGAUUUGCACUUUGUUCAUCCAUGAGCAUAAAUUCUCAUUUAAGCACUUGUGUUGGCACUCAAUCACCAAAAUACUUAGAAAUGACCCAAGGGCACAUUUCUCUUUCAAAGGGCGACGAGGAUCCUCAUCAUCGCCACUCUCUGGCGCCGACGCAUUCUUCGUGUGCGGCAUCCUGAUCUGAUGUCUGCAAAUGAGAGAGAGUGACUAAGCACAGAGCAAAAGUGACCGAUAGAUUUAGCAAAGAAUGAGAUGUCUACCUGGAAAGCUCACACGAGAGGUGACGAUCCAGGCAGGACGGGAGACAGCACACGGUCAAUCAAGGUCACUGAAAUGACAGAAGAGGUGAGCACGUAUUAGUCACAUAGUCAUAAGCAUAUGAAAUGUGAAUAAAUACAUACACAGAGAGAUAUGGCACAGAAAACACGAGACGAGACGAUCGAGAAGUCAAACGACGUGAAAACGACGUUUGAAGGAUAAUUAGUGCCAUAGGAGGUUUGGAAUUCGAAUUGAGGCACGAAACGAUAUGGGAAUGAGCCGAUACUUCACGAAUAGGUUUAUAUAGGUGAAUAUGAGUGAAGUGUGUGCUUGGUUUGAAUUUAGGCGAAGAAAAAGGAAUUUGGGCACUCGGCUCGGAAACGAUCGCUCUAAACGGGAAAUUUGGUGAAAUUUAAGUCUGGAAUCUCGGAUUGGCGUGAAAUUUGGCAAGUAGGUUACUGGAAGUGUUGUGAAGGUGCCUGAAAAAUUUGGGUUCAAUUGGAGCAUUUUUGGCUGGUUUGGGCAUUUCAUCGAGCACGUGGCGUGCGGGGAAUUAGGUUUUCGGUGAAAUGGCUAUUUGAGGAGUGAAAACCCUCCCGAAGAGCUAGGAUCUUGCAGGGAUACAUAAUGGGGACAAUUGAACACAUUCCACCGUUGGGAUUCACUGGAUUUGACAAGAAUUUGAAAGAUGGACAGGGGGUGGAGACUGUCUAAGAAACAGAGAGAUAGAGAGGCAGGGGAGAAAACGAGGCUGCUCACCGAGGGGGAGGAAGAGCACUGGCGAGGUCGCCGGAGGAUCGUCGGAGAUGGUGGCCGCCGGUGGUCGGAGAUCGCCGGCGGGGGAGGGAAUCGCCAAGAACAGAGAGCAAAGGGACGCUGGCGGUGAGAAGAGUGAGCCUCUGGCUCGGAUGCGGGCUGGAGGCCUUUUUUUAAAACGCGAUAUGGGCGCACCGGACAGUCUACAGUGCCUGUCCGGUGCACACCGGACAGCGCACAGUAGCUGUCUGGUGAACCACCGGACAGCGCACAGGAAAAAUGAAUUUUAGCGCGCGGCUGCCGGUGCACCGGACAUUGCACAGUGCAGUGUCCGGUGCACACCGGACUGUCCGGUGAGCCCAGACAGAGGAGAGUUUGGUAAGAUUUGAAUUUUUCUAUCUAACUCCCAACCAAACCAAAUCCCAACUUAUAAUCACACAAAAUAACACUUGUUGGGACAGGUAUUGGCACCCUCAUAUACUUUUCAAAAUAUUUCGCCAUAGGCUAGAUAAUUUUUAGAGAAAAUAGGCAAAUGGUGAAAUUUGCAUUUUGGUUUGCACUAAGGGGUUUUUAUGAGUGAUUUGAGUUUUGAAUACUCCCCCUAAGUGCAGUACCUCAUGCAUAUUUCAAGAACCAAUAAUUGCAUAGAAAGUAAGAAUUUAAGUGCUAAAAGCUUAAAACUAAGACUUGUCAGGUUUGACCCGAGUUAAGCUUUUUCACUCGCUUUGUUGGCGGUUAUCUCAACUAGGUUAGACAAGUCCUAGAUGCAAUACAAGGAAUUUAAACAUGCAAUGCAAGCUUGACAACACCAUUUGACAUUUUACAUAAAAUUUCUGAGAUCAAGAAUAUUUAGUUCAUUUCUCAACAUGCAAAAGCGGGUCUUAUCAAGUGGCUUAGUGAAAAUAUCCGCUAGUUGAUCUUCCGACCUCACUCCUUCUAAAAUGAUAUCUCCUUUAGCAACAUGAUCUCUAAGGAAGUGAUGACGGAUAUCAAUGUGCUUGGUGCGAGAGUGUUGUACAGGAUUAUUAGCAAUUUUAACAGCACUCUCAUUAUCACACAACAAAGGUACCUUUUCUAGAACUACGCCAUAGUCUAGAAGAGUUUGUUUCAUAUAUAAAAUCUGUGUGCAACAAGCACCUGCGGCAAUGUAUUCCGCUUCAGCAGUUGACAAGGCAACACUAUUUUGCUUUUUGGAUGUCCAUGAAACUAGUGAUCUACCAAGCAGAUGGCAUCCCCCAGAAGUACUUUUCCUGUCAAUUUUGCAACCGGCAUAAUCCGAAUCGGAAUAGCCAAUUAAAUCAAAAGUAGCUCCUUUGGGAUACCACAGACCAACGCUUGUGGUGUGCCUGAGAUACCUAAGAAUUCUCUUAACAGCGCGAAGAUGAGCUUUCUUAGGAUUAGAUUGGAAUCUAGCACACAUGCAAACACUGAACAUAAUAUCGGGCCUAGAUGCGGUAAGGUACAAUAAACUACCAAUCAUAGAACGGUAGAGAGUUUGAUUAACCGGGUUACCUCCCUCAUCUAAGUCGAGAUGUCCAUUUGUAGGCAUGGGAGUCUUGAUUGGUUUGCACUUCUCCAUGUUGAACCUUUUCAACAAGUCUUUGGUGUAUUUCUCUUGUGAGAGAAAGUUACCAUCUUUCAUUUGCUUGACUUAAAAGCCGAGGAAGUAUGUUAGCUCACCAAUCAUUGACAUCUCGAACUCCUUCAACAUCAACUCACCAAAUUCCUUGCAAUGAUAGUCAUUUGUCGAGCCAAAGAUUAUAUCAUCAACAUAUACUUGACAAAUGAAAAUAUCACCGUUAUGUUUCUUUGUGAAGAGAGUUGUGUCGACGGUCCCGAUCUUGAAGCCCUUUUCGAUGAGGAAGUCGCGAAGACGCUCAUACCAAGCCCUUGGAGCUUGCUUUAGCCCAUAAAGCGCUUUGGACAACCUGUAAGCAUGGUUAGGAUAUCUAGGGUCUUCAAAUCCAGACUGUUGCUCAACAUAUACAAGUUCAUUUAUGAAGCCAUUUAAAAAUGCAAUUUUUACAUCCAUUUGAUAAAGUUUUAUAUCAUAGCAUGAUGCAUAUGCAAGUAGGAUACAGAUGGCUUCCAGUCGAGCAACCGGUGCAAAGGUCUCUCCAAAAUCUAAGCCUUCAACUUGAGAGAAUCCCUUUGCGACAAGUCUUGCCUUGUUUCUUACAAUCACACCUUGAUCAUCUUGUUUGUUUCUGAACACCCAUUUUGUUCCAAUGAUUCUUGCAUCUUGUGGGGGCUUCUCCAGGGUCCAAACUUCGUUACGGGUGAAGUUGUUAAGUUCUUCAUGCAUGGCAUUCACCCAGUCCGGAUCCUGUAGCGCCUCAUCUAUACAAGUAGACUCAACACAAGAAACAAAAGAGUGAUGUUCAAUAAAAGUAGCAUGUCUAUGUGAUCGAGUAAUAACCCCUUGUGAAGGACUCCCGAUGAUUUGGUUUUGAGGAUGAGCUUGAAGUAGUGAUGAGUUUCUCCUGUCAACCACUUGGGAAGAAGAUCCUGGAGCAUCAACAUCUUCGGCUUGUACCCUUGCUUGUUCAUGAGAGACAAAUGUAUCUUCAUUUGCAUGCCUCUCAUCUUUUUCAUCAUCUUGUGGUACAUUUGAUGAAGAAGGUAUGUCAAUGAUUUGCACCUCUUCUUCAUCUUCUUUUGGUUUGAUAGCUCCAAUAGGCAUGUUCUUCAUUGCUUCCCUAAGUGGCUCAUCACCUACAUCAUCAAGAUUUUCAAGUGCUCCUUGGGAGCCAUUAGUCUCAUCAAAUUCCACAUCAUAUGUUUCUUCUACCACGCCAGUGGCAUGGUUGAAUACUCGAUAUGCUUUGGACUUUAAUGAAUAACCCAAAAGAAAACCAAUAUCACAACGUCUUUGAAACUUCACUAGGUGAUGGCGUUUCUUGUAGAUGUAGCAUUUGCACCCAAAUACCCGGAAGAAAGAGACGUCUGGCUUUUUCCCAUUUAGCAGUUCAUAAGGAGUCUUCGCAAGUAGCCGAUGAGGAAAUAGCCUGUUUGAUGCAUAACAAGCAGUGUUGACAGCUUCGGCCCAAAACCUCUCCGGUGUGUUGUACUCAUCAAUCAUUGUUCUUGCAAGGGUGAUCAAGGUCCUAUUUUUCCUUUCAACAACUCCAUUUUGUUGAGGUGUAUAUGUGGCAGAUACUUCAUGCUUGAUCCCAAUUUCAUCACAGUACUCAUGAAUGUUGGUGUUGUCAAAUUCUUUGUCAUUGUCACUUCUAAUCUUCUUAAUCUUGCAAUCAAAUUCAUUUUGUGCUUUCUUGGCAAAUUUCUUAAAUAUAGAUGCAACUUCAGAUUUGUCAUGGAGAAAGAACACCCAAGUGUAUCUUGAGAAGUCAUCAACAAUCACUAGACAGUAGAGGUUGCCACCGGCACUGACAUAAUUUGUAGGUCCAAAUAAAUCCAUAUGAAGUAGUUCCAGUGGCCUUGAUGUUGACAUGAAAGCUUUAGUAGGAUGUGUAUUAGCAACUUGCUUUCCAGCUUGACAUGCACUGCAUGGCUUGUCUUUUUCAAACACCACAUCCUUUAAUUCUCUAACCAUAUCUUUCUUUAAUACCUUCUUGAGUGUGCUCAUCCCAACAUGUGCAAGCCUCCUAUGCCAAAGCCAUCCAAGAGAAGCUUUGGUGAAGAGGCAAGUUCUUAAGUCUGCAUCUUCUGAAGUGAAAUCCACUAAGUAGAGGUUGUUGUAUCUAAAUCCCUUGAAUACCAUUGAUUCAUCAUCCAUUUUUGUUACAAUAACCUCUGAUGGAGUGAAUAAGCAUUGAAGUCCAAGAUCACAGAGUUGUCCCACUGAUAAUAAAUUGAAGCUCAAGGGUGCAACUAAGAGAACAUUUGAUAUUGAUAAGUCAUUUGAGAUUGCCACCUUGCCAAGUCCUUGCACUUUUCCUUUUGAGUUGUCUCCAAAUGUGAUUUUAUCUUGACCAUCAACAUUCUCAUCUAGUGAGGUGAACAUCCGUGGGUUGCCUGUCAUAUGUUGUGUGCAUCCACUGUCAAUAACCCAAUGGCUCCCACCGGUCUUGUAGUUCACCUACAUUCACAGACAAUUCAAGCUUGAGUUUUGAGAGCCCUAUAUUGCAUAGGACCAGUGACUCUCUCAAUUAAGGACUUUGCCACCCAGAUUUGUCUAGGUCUACUCUUAUUUGGUGGACCUAGGAAUGUAACCUUAAUCUUUCCAUUUGCAACCUUUCUUAGAACAUAGUGAGCAUUGAAAGCAAAUGGUCUUGAGUGCUUAGGCAAGGGAGUUGGUGGUUUAGCUUUGCAGUUGUGGGCAAAAUGACCUUCAUUUCCACACUCAAAGCAUUUGAUAGGCUUGUGAGUCUGCUUUGGCUUGUAUUGAGUGAUAGCUUUCUUUUGCACAAAAGCAUUGUAUCCAAUACCACUCUUGUUAUUUUUCAUAACAGUGUUCAUAAGCAGCUUAUUUUGGAGGUAUUGACCCUUGUUGAACUUUUGCACACUUGUUGCAAGAUGUUCAUUUUCACUUUUUAGUUUCUUGACCUCAUUCUUAAGCCUUUGAUUAUCCACUGCCAACUCAUUGUUGAAAUCAUUGUUCUCAAUAGCAACUUUUCCUCUAGUAGUUGCAUCAGUCAAGUAAUUCUUCAAUUUUUGGUUGUCUAAAGUCAGGACUUCAACUUUUUCAGUCAAUUCAGCAUGUAGACUAGUUUGCUCUUCUUGAAUCAAAUCAUCACAUGAGGUUGCUACAUCAAGCUUAACAACAGGGUUAAUAGCCUCAUGUGUUUUGCAAGAUAAAAGUUCAUUUUCAACAAGAAGAUUGUCAUGAUCAAAUUUAAUUUGAGUAUAGUCUUCCUUGAUCUUUACUAGUCUAUUUUGCAACUCCCUAUUAGCUUCAUUUAAUUUGUCAUAUUUUUCCUUAGCAUCUUUUAGGUAGUUUGUGAGCUCAUUUACAGUUGAUGACAUAGUUUUAUUUUCUUCUUUUAUUUCAUCACUAGCCUUUAUAACUAUGUCAUACUUGGCAUUUAAAGAUUCAUUUUCAUUUUUCAACCUAUCACAUUUAGCUUUUGACUUUCUAAUGAUUUGAGUAUAUUCUUUAAGUAAGUCAGCUAACUCAUCAUAUGAAGGUGAAGCAAAUUCUUCAUCACUAUCACUAUCAUCAGCAAUAUUAAUAUCAUUUUGUACCUUUCGUUCACCCCUAGCCAUGAGGCAUAGGUGAGAAGUGGAUGAUGGCGAUGGUGGUGGUGAAGAGAAGUCCCCGGCGAUGGCCGCAACUUUUUCAUCAUUCUCUUCUUCACUUGAAGAAGACCCACUUGAUGAUUCGAUGUCGGUGAGCCAGUCGCCAACAAUAUAUGCCUUUCCAUUCUUCUUCUUGUGAAACCUCUUUUGCUUUCCAUCCUUCCUCUUGAAGAAUUUCUUUUCCUUCUUUUCAUCAUCGCUGUCAUCUUCCUUCUUGCCCUUGAACUUGUUCUUCUUGGGCUUGUUGCAUUGAUGAGCAAGAUGACCAAGCUCACCACAGUUGUAGCAGUCCAUCUCAGAAAUGGGCUUUCUUUUGUUGGAAAAGAACUUCUUCUUUCUUGAAUCAAAUUUGAUGCCUUCUCUAUUGUCGGGGACCAUAAUUAGGGGUACCCUCAAGACGCCUAAUUCUCAGCUGGUAACCCCCAUCAGCAUAAAGCUGCAAAGGCCUGAUGGGCACGAUUAAGUCAGGGAUCAGUCCACACGAGUGACUCGAUCACGCUUCACCCGAGCCUAGCCUCGGCCGAAGGCAGCCGACCUCGAGAGACUUCCGUCUCGCCCGAGGCCCCCUUUUUAUGGCGGACACAUCACCGGCUUGCCCAAGGCCUUGGCUUCGCUCAGAAGCAACCUUGACUAAAUCACCACACCGACUGACCAAAUUGCAGGGGCAUUUAACGCAAAGGUGGCCUGACACCUCUAUCCUGACACGCGCCCCCGGCAGAGCCGAGGUGACCGCCGUCACUCCACCGCUCCACUGGCCAGUCUGACAGAAGGACAGCGCCGCCUGCGCCACUCCGACUGCAGUGCCACUCGACAGAGUGAGUCUGACAGGCAAUUAGGCCUUGCCAAAGGCGCCACAGCGAACUCCGCUCCGCCCGACCCCAGGGCUCGGACUCGGGCUAAGACCCGGAAGACGGCGAACUCCGCUCCGCCCGACCCCAGGGCUCGGACUCGGGCUAAGACCCGGAAGACGGCGAACUCCGCUCCGCCCGACCCCAGGGCUCGGACUCGGGCUAAGACCCGGAAGACGGCGAACUCCGCUCCGCCCGACCCCAGGGCUCGGACUCGGGCUAGGACCCGGAAGACGGCGAACUCCGCUCCGCCCGACCCCAGGGCUCGGACUCGGGCUAAGACCCGGAAGACGGCGAACUCCGCUCCGCCCGACCCCAGGGCUCGGACUCAGGCUAAGACCCGGAAGACGACGAAACUCCGCCUCGCCCGACCCCAGGGCUCGGACUCCGCCCUGGCCUUGGCCGGACGACUUCCGCCUCGCCCGACCCCCUGGCUCGGGCUCGGCCACGGCAACUGAAGGCAAGACUCAACCUCGGCUUCGGAGGAAACCCCACGUCGCCCUGCCUAGAGCACAGACCGCCACGUCAACAGGAAACGUCAUCAUCACCCUACCCCGAAUCGACUCGGGUCACGGAGAACAAGACCGGCGUCUCGUCCGGCCAGCUCCGCCAGAGGGGCAAUGAUGGCGCUCCACGAGCUCUAUGACGACGGCGGCCCCCAGCUCUCUUACGGCAGCAGGACAACGUCAGCAGGGACUCGACCGCUCCAACAGCUGUCCCUCCAUCAGGCUCCGUCGCACCUCCGAUAGCCACGACAUCACGCCAGCAGGAUGCCCAGAUCUCUCCGGCUGCCACAUCGGCAUGUACCUAGGGCACUAGCUCUCCCUCCGCUAGACACGUAGCACUCUGCUACAUCCCCAUUGUACACCUGGAUCCUCUCCUUACAACUAUAAAAGGAAGGACCAGGGCCUUCUCAGAGGAGGUUGGCCGCGCGGGACCGAGGACGGGACAGGCGCUCUCUUGGGGCCGCUCGCUUCCCUCACCCGCGUGGACGCUUGUAACCCCCCUACUGCAAGCGCACCUAACCUGGGCGCGGGACGAACACGAAGGCCGCGGGACUUCCACCUCUCUCACGCUCGGCUCCGGCCGCCUCGCCUCUCCCCCCUCCGCGCUCGCCCACGCGCUCGACCCAUCUGGGCUGGGGCACGCAGCACACUCACUCGUCGGCUUAGGGACCCCCCUGUCUCGAAACGCCGACAGUUGGCGCGCCAGGUAGGGGCCUGCUGCGUGCUGACGAAUAGCUCCCCGUCAAGCUCCAGAUGGGCAGUCUCCAGCAACCUCUCCGGCCCGGGACGGUGCUUCGUUUCGGGGCUCUCGAGUUCAUGUCCUUCGACGGCAGCUACGACAUAAUACUUCUUCCACCGCCGUGCGACCACGACAAUGGCGGCCGACAACCCGCCCGCCGGCGGCGGAAUCGACGACGUCUACCCCGCGUGGUGGAAAAGCAACAUUCGGGCUCGCUCCGUUCUCUCCCCCGCCAAUGGAGGAGGAGGCGGGGCCGUCAAGGCCAGACGGGAGGCCGCGCUUCGCCGGCCGUCGAGCGAAUCGAUGCCCCCGACGCCCCGACGGAAGGCACGCCGGACAUCGACCUCGCGUUCAAGACGGAGGCAAGCGUCGUCCCCCCGCGGCACGACGACCCCGAGCAAGAAGACGACGCCGGCGCGCUCGCGGAAAGCCUGCAGGACGUCGCCCUCGAACCAGAGAUGACGGCGCAACCAGUCCCCGAUGUGACUACGUCGCUCCUCGUCGACCAAAAGGUAACGACUAACUCCCAUCUUGCGUCAUUUCGACUCGGCCUCAACCCGCCAAACGACCUCGAUUUGGCGGGCGCUCUCAUUGAGGCGAGUGCAACCCCACUGAGGUUCUGUAUGCGGUCGCCUUGGGACCGACUGACGGACGUCUCGACCUACGGGCCCUCUGGGUCCGAGGAAGAUGACGACCCCAGCAUCGGUUGGGAUUUCUCCGGACUUGGCAACCCCAGUGCCGUGCGGGAUUUCAUGGCCGCAUGUGACUACUGUAUGUCCGACUGUUCCGAUGCAAGCCGCAGCCUUGGCGACGAGAGCUGCGGCCCAAGCCGCGAAUGUUUCCACAUCGAGCUAGGGAAUCCCACCGAAGGCAACCAUCUUGGCAUGCCGGAGGAUGGUGAUCUCCCUAGGCCGGUGCCUCGCGCCGACAUCCCACGGGAGCUAGCUGUGGUCCCCGCUCCGGCGGGGGGUUACGACCCACAACUCGAGCAAGUCCGCGAGGCGCAGGCCAGGCUCAACGAGGGAACGGGAGCGCUUGAGCCGAUCCGUCGGGACGUCGGACAGGCAUGGGUGGGCCAACCCCUGGCCGGAGAAAUACGUCAUCUGCCCCAAGGUCUCCAGCACCGCGUCGCCAACGACGUCAGGAUCAGGCCGCCGCCCGCAUCCAGCGGGGUCGGUCAGAACCUGGCAACCGCAGCAAUGCUCAUCCGCGCGAUGCCGGAGCCGUCAACCACCGAGGGUCGGCGGAUCCAGGGAGAACUCAAGAAUCUCCUGGAAGGCGCCGCGGCCCGGCGGGCCGAGAGCACUGCAUCCCGAAGGCAAGGAUAUCCCUCGGAACCUCAUGCCGCGACUUCCCGAUUCAUGCGGGAAGCCUCGGUCUACACCGGGCGCACGCGCAACACCGCGCCUGCGGCCCCGGGCCACCUCGGCAACGAGCACCAUCGACGCGACCGUCGGGCUCACCUCGACGAAAGGGUGCGCCGAGGCUAUCACCCCAGGCGUGGGGGACGUUACGACAGCGGGGAGGAUCGGAGUCCUUCGCCCGAACCACCCGGUCCGCAGGCUUUCAGUCGGGCCAUUCGACGGGCGCCAUUCCCGACCCGGUUCCGACCCCCGACUACUAUCGUAAAGUACUCGGGGGAAACGAGACCGGAGCUGUGGCUCGCGGACUACCGCCUUGCCUGCCAACUGGGUGGAACGGACGACGACAACCUCAUCAUCCGCAACCUCCCCCUGUUCCUCUCCGACACUGCUCGUGCCUGGUUGGAGCACCUGCCUCCGGGGCAGAUUUCCAACUGGGACGACUUGGUCCAAGCCUUCGCUGGCAAUUUCCAGGGCACAUACGUGCGCCCCGGGAAUUCCUGGGACCUUCGAAGCUGCCGGCAACAGCCGGGAGAGUCGCUCCGGGACUACAUCCGGCGAUUCUCGAAGCAGCGCACCGAGCUGCCCAACAUCACCGACUCGGAUGUCAUCGGCGCGUUCCUCGCCGGCACCACUUGCCGCGACCUGGUGAGCAAGCUGGGUCGCAAAACCCCCACCAGGGCCAGCGAGCUGAUGGACAUCGCCACCAAGUUCGCCUCCGGCCAGGAGGCGGUCGAGGCUAUCUUCCGAAAGGACAAGCAGCCCCAGGGCCGCCCAUCGGAAGAAGCCCCCGAGGCGUCUGCUCCGCGCGGCGCCAAGAAGAAAGGCAAGAAGAAGUCGCAAUCGAAACGCGACGCCGCCGACGCGGACCUUGUCGCCGCCGCCGAGUAUAAGAACCCUCGGAAGCCCCCCGGAGGUGCAAACCUCUUCGACAAGAUGCUCAAGGAGUCGUGCCCCUACCAUCAGGGGCCCGUCAAGCACACCCUCGAGGAGUGCGUUAUGCUUCGGCGUCAUUUCCACAGGGUCGGGCCACCCGCCGAGGGUGGCAGGGCCCACGACGAUGACAAGAACGAAGAACACCCAGCAGGGGGGUUCCCCGAGGUCCGCGACUGCUUCAUGAUCUAUGGAGGGCAUGCGGCGAACACCUCGGCUCGGCACCGCAAGCAAGAGCGCCGGGAGGUCUGCUCGGUGAAGGUGGCGGCGCCAGUCUACCUAGACUGGUCCGACAAGCCCAUCACUUUCGACCGAGCCGACCACCCCGACCAUGUGCCGAGCCCGGGGAAAUACCCGCUCGUCGUCGACCCCGUUGUCGGCGAUGUCAGGCUCACCAAGGUCCUGAUGGACGGGGGCAGCUGCCUCAACAUCAUCUACGCCGAGACCCUCAAGCUCCUGCGCGUCGAUCCGUCCACCGUCCGAGCAGGCGCUGCGCCCUUCCACGGGAUCAUCCCUGGGAAGCGCGUCCAGCCCCUCGGGCGACUCGACCUCCCAGUCUGCUUCGGGACACCCUCCAACUUCCGAAGGGAGACCCUGACGUUCGAAGUGGUCGGGUUCCGAGGAACCUACCACGCCGUGUUAGGGAGGCCAUGCUACGCGAAGUUCAUGGCCGUCCCCAACUACACCUACCUGAAGCUCAAGAUGCCGGGCCCCAACGGGGUCAUCACCGUCGGCCCCACGUACAAACACGCGUUCGAAUGCGACGUGGAGUGCGUGGAGUACGCCGAGGCCCUCGCCGAGUCCGAGGCCCUCAUCGCCGACCUGGAGAACCUCUCCAAGGAGGUCCCAGACGUGAAGCGCCAUGCCGGCAACUUCGAGCCAGCGGAGACGGUCAAGGCCGUCCCCCUCGACCCCAGCGGCGACACCACCAAGCAGAUCCGGAUCGGUUCCGGGCUCGACCCCAAAUAGGAAGCAGUGCUCGUCGACUUUCUCCGCGCAAACGCCGACGUCUUUGCGUGGAGUCCCUCGGACAUGCCCGGCAUACCGAGGGAUGUCGCCGAGCACUCGCUGGAUAUUCGGGCCGGAGCCCGACCCGUCAGACAGCCUCUGCGCCGAUUCGACGAGGAGAAGCGCAGGGCGAUUGGCGAAGAGAUCCACAAGCUACUGGCGGCAGGGUUCAUCAAAGAGGUAUUCCAUCCCGAAUGGCUUGCCAACCCUGUGCUUGUGAGGAAGAAAGGGGGGAAAUGGCGGAUGUGUGUAGACUACACUGGUCUCAACAAAGCAUGUCCGAAGGUUCCCUACCCUCUGCCUCGCAUCGACCAAAUCGUGGAUUCCACUGCUGGGUGCGAAACCCUGUCCUUCCUCGAUGCCUACCCGGGGUAUCACCAGAUCCGGAUGAAAGAGUCCGACCAGCUCGCGACUUCUUUCAUCACGCCGUUCGGCAUGUACUGCUACGUCACCAUGCCGUUCGGCCUGAGGAAUGCAGGCGCGACGUACCAGCGGUGCAUGAACCAUGUGUUCGGCGAACACAUCGGUCGCACAGUCGAGGCCUACGUCGAUGACAUCGUAGUCAAGACACGGAAGGCUCCCAACCUCCUCUCCGACCUUGAAGUGACAUUCCGGUGUCUCAAGGCGAAAGGAGUCAAGCUUAAUCCUGAGAAGUGUGUCUUCGGGGUGCCCCGAGGCAUGCUCCUAGGGUUCAUCGUCUCUGAGCGAGGCAUCGAGGCCAACCCGGAGAAGAUCGCGGCCAUCACCAGCAUGGGGCCCAUCAAGGACUUAAAAGGGGUACAGAGGGUCAUGGGAUGCCUCGCGGCCCUGAGCCGCUUCAUCUCACGCCUCGGCGAAAGAGGUCUGCCCCUGUACCGCCUUUUAAGGAAAGCCGAGUGUUUCGUUUGGACCCCUGAGGCCGAGGAAGCCCUCGGCAACCUAAAGGCGCUCCUUACAAAGGCGCCAGUCUUGGUGCCACCGGCGGACGGAGAAACCCUCUUGGUCUACGUCGCCGCGACCACUCAGGUGGUUAGCGCCGCGAUUGUGGUCGAAAGGCAGGAGGAAGGGCAUACAUUGCCCGUUCAGAGGCCGGUUUACUUCAUCAGCGAAGUGCUGUCCGAGACUAAGAUCCGCUACCCACAAGUUCAAAAGCUGCUGUAUGCUGUGAUCCUGACGAGGCGGAAGCUACGACACUACUUCGAGUCCCAUCCGGUGACUGUGGUGUCAUCCUUCCCCCUGGGAGAGAUCAUCCAGUGCCGAGAGGCCUCGGGCAGGAUCGCAAAGUGGGCAGUGGAGAUCAUGGGCGAAACGAUCUCGUUCGCCCCUCGGAAGGCCAUCAAGUCCCAAGUGUUGGCGGAUUUCGUGGCUGAAUGGGUCGAUACCCAACUACCAACGACUCCGAUCCAACCGGAGCUCUGGACCAUGUUUUUCGACGGGUCGCUGAUGAAGACGGGGGCCGGUGCGGGCCUGCUCUUCAUCUCGCCCCUCGGAAAGCACUUGCGCUACGUGCUGCGCCUCCACUUCCCGGCGUCCAACAAUGUGGCCGAGUACGAAGCUCUGGUCAACGGAUUGCGGAUCGCCAUCGAGCUAGGGGUCAGACGCCUCGACGCACGCGGUGAUUCGCAGCUCGUCAUCGACCAAGUCAUGAAGAACUCCCACUGCCGCGACCCGAAGAUGGAGGCCUACUGCGACGAGGUUCGGCGCCUGGAAGACAAGUUCUUCGGGCUCGAGCUCAACCACAUCGCUCGGCGCUACAACGAAACCGCAGACGAGCUGGCGAAGAUAGCCUCGGGGCGAACGACAGUCCCCCCGGACGUCUUCUCCCGGGAUCUGCAUCAACCCUCCGUCAAGCUCGACGACGCGCCCGAGCCCGAGGUAUCCUCGGCUCAGCCCGAGGUACCCUCGGCUCAGCCCGAGGUACCCUCGGCUCAGCCCGAGGCACUCUCGGCCCCCGAGGGCGGGGCAUUGAACGUCGAGGAAGGGCAGAGCGGGGCCACGCCAGACCAGGAUUGGCAGGCUCCGUACCUGCAAUAUCUCCGUCGAGGAGAGCUACCCCUCGACCAAGUCGAGGCUCGGCGGGCAGCGCGACGCGCCAAGUCAUUCGUCUUGCUGGGCGACGAAGAGGAGCUCUACCAUCGCAGCCCCUCGGGCAUCCUCCAGCGACGCAUCUCCAUCGCCGAAGGUCGGGAACUGCUGCAAGAAGUACACUCGGGGGCUUGCGGCCACCACGCAGCACCCCGAGCCCUUGUUGGAGAUGCUUUCCGGCAAGGCUUCUACUGGCCAACGGCGGUGGCUGACGCCACUAGAAUUGUCCGCACCUGCGAAGGGUGCCAAUUCUAUGCGAAGCGGACACACCUGCCCACUGACCUGGAAUACGGCUCCCCAAGGGCGAGGGCCUACACCGAGCAAAGCAACCAAGCCAGCCGAGAGGAAUCGCUGGACCAGUUGGAGGAAGCUCGGGACAGGGCCUUACUACACUCGGCGCGGUACCAACAGUCCCUGCGACGUUACCACGCCCGAGGGGUCCGGUCCCGAGAACUCCAGGUGGGCGACCUGGUGCUUCGGCUGCGACAAGACGCCCGAGGGAGGCACAAGCUCACGCCCCCCUGGGAAGGGCCGUUCGUCAUCGCCAAAGUUCUGAAGCCCGGAACAUACAAGCUAGCCAACAAUCAAGGCGAGAUCUACGGCAACGCUUGGAACAUCAAACAGCUACGUCGCUUCUACCCUUAAGAUGUUUUCAAGUUGUUCAUAUACCUCGCACCUACGCAAAGUUUAGUUGUCAAGGAAGGGUCGGCCUAGCCUCGGCAAGGCCCGACCCUCCCUCGGGGGCUAAAAGGGGGGAGACCCCCUCUGCGUCGAAUUUUUUCCUCGAAAAAGGACCUCUUUUUAGCAGGAUUUCUUCCGUGCUUCUUGACUACUUUGGAAAGCGGAUCCUGGAAACGACGAGGUACACGUAAGCAGCCAAGGCUGACCGAGCCGAGGGACUCCUACGCCUCCGGGAUACGGAUACCUCACUCGUCCCCUUCCGCGAUAAGUAACUUGCGCUCGAAUAAAGCGACUCCGUGGACCGAACGAGUCAUCACGUUCGGAAGCUCUCCUGCCGAAGCAGUCCUUCAAGCUUUCUCGACUAAAUCGGGGACAGGGCCUCAUGGACGGGUGAAAGUACGCGUAAGCGGCAAGGCCGACCGAGCCGAGGGAUUCCCACGCCUCUGGGAUACGGAUACCUCACUCGUCCCUUCCGCGAAAAGCAACUCUCGCUCACACAAACAUCCCUAUUUACCGACAGAGUCCAGAUGCUCGAAACAAGAGGAAAAAAGGACGCAGCUUCGCAAGCGCGGCGAGGGCGUGUUCUUCUGGCCUCGGCGGCCGCAGAAAGCGCACGCUACAAGAUGAUCUGAUCCUGCAGGCUCGGGUCUUCACGCCGAAGGGAGCCGUAGCACCCUCGGCAUCGACGACGUCUACAGCAAAGCCCGACCCAGCCUCGGGCGGCGCCGAGGUCCAGGGGCUCCUCCAGGAAUCCGGCCCGAGCAGGCGGCUCAACCGGUUACCCCUGGGGCCUCGGGCAACCGGCUUCCAAGGGCGCUAGCCCGAUCCGAGGCCUCGACUGACCGACUUGGGCGUCGGCACCACUGACGGGCGACACGGCUAGGCUCCGGCCAACCAGGUUCCCCAUUCUCGAGCCAACUCCGCCUCUGUUCAUACUGAUAUCGCUACCCCCGGCCUCGAUCCACCAAAGGGCGGCCGAGGGGUCCCUUCAACUAAGCUAGAGGAGCCCCAGACAACAAGGCCGAACGGGCCGAGGGAUUCCUACGCCUCCGGGAUACGGAUACCUCACCAGUCACCUUGACACGGGGCAACUCAUGCUUGGUAAAGCGGUUCAGAUAAUAAAACAGGCGAGACUUAGUGCUCGGAAAUGGGAAAAAAACACGGCUCCGUGCCGAAAUUACAUACACGUUCAGGCCUCGACAGCCACAAUGAACGAACUCGCUGGCAUUCGAAGUGCCAUUACAAACGGAACUCCGGUUCCCCCUCCGCAGGUACGAACAACCCCACUCCGAGGGGGAAGGCCUGCGGAGCAACGGAAGACCGACGAACGGCGCGCCGUCACCUGCUCCAGCAGUGGCGACAACGGCGACUUCUGCUCCGGGGGGCCGAACAGCGGCAACGCUGACCUCAGGGUGGAUGCCGCUGUCAGGAGGCCCCCGCCCGUGCCAAAACUCGUGAGGCAAGGACGGGCAGAAGGCCGUAGAAGUUGGAGGUCAGCCCGUGGCCGGUCCCGGCCGCCGCGCCGGCGGAAGAACCUCUUCCGGCUGCCGUGGCAGACGCCGACGCCGCAAGGGGCCCCGAAGCCACUCGCGGCUGAAGACCAGGCACGCUGCAGCUGCCGGACGCCACGGGCAAUGCCCGCUUCUCCCCCCACCACUGAGUGAAGGAGCGGGCCACCGCCCACGCAGGGGCCGACCCCAACUCGGCACUCUCCCCUCCCCAGCCUUGGUGAUGAAAAUCCUUGAGGCUGAGGAAGGGGCAGAGGCCGCAGCCCGGCUCGCUUUCCCCCACCAUCAAGCUGGAGGUCGCCAUCUCGGGUGACCGCCGGUGAAGGGGUGCGACCGGGCUGCGUGAUGAAAAUCCUUGAAGCCGAACGAUGGCUGAGAGGUACCAACUCCCAUGGAGUUGCGUUCCUCCAACGAGGAGGCGGAAAGGCGGCGGAUAUCCCCCAUCCGGGGGCUUGGAAGACGGGAAGACCCAGCGCUUAAGGGAGGAAGAAGACAUGGUUGCCUUACGAAAGGAGCCUCCCUCCUUUUAAAGGCAACUCCCCCUGCGUGCGCCCCCAGGCGCCGCGGGCCGAGUCUUCUCCAACACGCUCCAAGGCCCUCCCCUGCGACUCGGGGGCUGGGUCCCGCAUGUCAUGCAAGCCGGCUCAGGGCAGAAGAAGCCAAACCGCCGCGCAUGGUGCGCACGACCGUCCAGCGGUUACAGGCGACCCCCCAUUUCCGCCCAGACCAACGGGCAGAAGGGGCGAGCAGCCAUGCAGGCGGCAUGCAACCGCGCCAGAUGGACGCGCUUCUCCAACUUCUGACACGCCAGCCUGGGGCCCAGGCCCACGCGUCGAGCAAAUGGCACGCCAGUUGCUGCACGCAAGCAACCGCACCGCCACUUGUGCCACCAUCGCGCCUCUUCGGUUGCGAAGCCUAUGCCACGACUCGAGGCGACCCAACAGCGCCAGACUGGCGCGUCGGUCAAAGCGACCGAAAGUGGGCCGGCAGUAAUAGCGGUGGCAGGCGGGCGGGCGCAGCGGUCACGUCGUCAGCCAGGCUCACGUCCCAUCCUGAGACAGCAAGAGAGCCUCCUCUCACGGCGUGAAGACGGUGCACCCGUGACCCGUUCCUCGAACGGAUCACCCGCGCGCAACGGCCGCCCCGCCAACCACUCGCCCCGUCGCAUUAACUCCGCGGCGGGACACGCGGCGCUUCUGGCAGGAGGAGCGCGCGACGCUUCACCUUCGCCUUAAUAACCGCGUCAGAAAAGGUACGCCACGUCGUCUGAUUUCGUAUCCUUUUCCGUUUUCCUCUUUCUCUAUCUCUUGCAACAGGGACCGGGGAAGGGGGAUACCCCGAGAGGGAUCCUUCUCCGCGAAGGAACCGGGCUCCGCGCCCCCCAUUACUGAUCAGGGGUUCGAAGGCUGGCCCCCCGAGGGUUCAACAGCCGCCUCAGAUCGCGUGGGCCCGACACCCACUACUGGUCAGGGGUUCGAAGGCCGGCCCUCCGAAGGGCUCCACGGCCGCCUCAGGCUACUCGGGCUCCGCGCCCAUUACUGAUCAGGGGUUCGAAGGCUGGCCCCUGAAGGGUUCACAGUCGCCUCAGACACCGAGCGAGGGAUGACCAGGGGUACGUUCGAUACAUAACCGAGGCUCGGGCUGCGCUCCCGAGGUACCCUAGGACAUAUCCGAGACCAGCGGGAACGAUCUUGUAACGGAAUCCCAUCGGAGGGAGGCAUCGAGCCCUCGGACCCCGUCGCCAGGGGACCGGGUCCGGCAAGUCACCCGCAGGUACUUUUGGGCGUGCCUCUGGGCCCCUAGCCGACCCCCAACGAACGGGGCACGGACGUCCACUCGGAUUACCCGCUUGCAGCUCACCGGAGACACCAUGUUCGGUGCCCAUCGAGGGUAACAUGGCGCACUCCCCCCUCCUCCUUGCGGAAAGGCGACGUAGGGGCGUAUGUAAAAAGCCGAGUCUGUCCCUGAUCGUCCUCUCGCCCUGUGCAGAGGCUCGGGGGCUGCUCUCGCAAAAACCGGCUCCGGCCAAAUCGUUGACAGCGUCAACAUACCAGCCCGAGAGCUUGGGCCCCGACCGUGCACCCGGGCUACGGCCAGUUCGCAUGAGGGAACGACCAGACCAGCCGAAGCGUUAAGCGAAGUAUUAAGACCUCGAAGGAGUGUAACCACUCCUCCGAGGCCUCGGGGGCUACACCCGGCGGGUGCGCUCGCGCGCACCCACCGGAACGAAAUGCAACCGAGAAAGGCUGGUCCCCUUGCAAAAAAGUGCGACGAAAGCCUCCAAGCGAGUGCUAACACUCCCUUCGAGGCUCGGGGGCUACUGUCGGGGACCAUAAUUAGGGGUACCCUCAAGACGCCUAAUUCUCAGCUGGUAACCCCCAUCAGCAUAAAGCUGCAAAGGCCUGAUGGGCACGAUUAAGUCAGGGAUCAGUCCACACGAGUGACUCGAUCACGCUUCACCCGAGCCUAGCCUCGGCCGAAGGCAGCCGACCUCGAGAGACUUCCGUCUCGCCCGAGGCCCCCUUUUUAUGGCGGACACAUCACCGGCUUGCCCAAGGCCUUGGCUUCGCUCAGAAGCAACCUUGACUAAAUCACCACACCGACUGACCAAAUUGCAGGGGCAUUUAACGCAAAGGUGGCCUGGCACCUCUAUCCUGACACGCGCCCCCGGCAGAGCCGAGGUGACCGCCGUCACUCCACCGCUCCACUGGCCAGUCUGACAGAAGGACAGCGCCGCCUGCGCCACUCCGACUGCAGUGCCACUCGACAGAGUGAGUCUGACAGGCAAUUAGGCCUUGCCAAAGGCGCCACGGCGAACUCCGCUCCGCCCGACCCCAGGGCUCGGACUCGGGCUAAGACCCGGAAGACGGCGAACUCCGCUCCGCCCGACCCCAGGGCUCGGACUCGGGCUAAGACCCGGAAGACGGCGAACUCCGCUCCGCCCGACCCCAGGGCUCGGACUCGGGCUAAGACCCGGAAGACGGCGAACUCCGCUCCGCCCGACCCCAGGGCUCGGACUCGGGCUAGGACCCGGAAGACGGCGAACUCCGCUCCGCCCGACCCCAGGGCUCGGACUCGGGCUAAGACCCGGAAGACGGCGAACUCCGCUCCGCCCGACCCCAGGGCUCGGACUCAGGCUAAGACCCGGAAGACGACGAAACUCCGCCUCGCCCGACCCCAGGGCUCGGACUCCGCCCUGGCCUCGGCCGGACGACUUCCGCCUCGCCCGACCCCCUGGCUCGGGCUCGGCCACGGCAACUGAAGGCAAGACUCAACCUCGGCUUCGGAGGAAACCCCACGUCGCCCUGCCUAGAGCACAGACCGCCACGUCAACAGGAAACGUCAUCAUCACCCUACCCCGAAUCGACUCGGGUCACGGAGAACAAGACCGGCGUCUCGUCCGGCCAGCUCCGCCAGAGGGGCAAUGAUGGCGCUCCACGAGCUCUAUGACGACGGCGGCCCCCAGCUCUCUUACGGCAGCAGGACAACGUCAGCAGGGACUCGACCGCUCCAACAGCUGUCCCUCCAUCAGGCUCCGUCGCACCUCCGAUAGCCACGACAUCACGCCAGCAGGAUGCCCAGAUCUCUCCGGCUGCCACAUCGGCAUGUACCUAGGGCACUAGCUCUCCCUCCGCUAGACACGUAGCACUCUGCUACAUCCCCAUUGUACACCUGGAUCCUCUCCUUACAACUAUAAAAGGAAGGACCAGGGCCUUCUCAGAGGAGGUUGGCCGCGCGGGACCGAGGACGGGACAGGCGCUCUCUUGGGGCCGCUCGCUUCCCUCACCCGCGUGGACGCUUGUAACCCCCCUACUGCAAGCGCACCUGACCUGGGCGCGGGACGAACACGAAGGCCGCGGGACUUCCACCUCUCUCACGCUCGGCUCCGGCCGCCUCGCCUCUCCCCCCUCCGCGCUCGCCCACGCGCUCGACCCAUCUGGGCUGGGGCACGCAGCACACUCACUCGUCGGCUUAGGGACCCCCCUGUCUCGAAACGCCGACAUCUAUUUAGCUUCUUCAACAUCUUGGUGGUCUUCCUUACCAUCAAGGCAAUGUUUGCAUCAAGGUCAUCAUCACUUGAGGACUCUUCCUCAACUUGUAUUUUUGCUUUUCCUUUUCUUUCAUGAUUUGCUUUGAGAGCCAAAUCCUUUCUUUUGGAAGAUGAUUCUUCUUUGUCGUUGAUGUGCAUGUACAUUUCAUGGGCAUUGAUCUUUCCCAAAAUUUGUGUAGGUGUGGUAACUGAAAGAUCCAUUUGAUGUAGCACAGUGACAAUGUGUCCAUAUUUGUCUAUUGGGAGGACACUGAGAAUCUUCCUCACAACAUCCGGUUGUGAGAUUUGAGUAAGCCCCAAUCCAUUGACUUCCUCUACAAGAAUAUUAAGUCGUGAGUACAUAGCGUUUGCAUUUUCAUUAGUAAGCAUUUCAAAAGAAUUUAACUUUCGCAUGGCUAUGUGAUAUCUUUCCUCACGUUCACUUCUAGUUCCUUCGUGUAGAGCACAAAUGUCCAUCCACAAAUCAUGAGCAUUUUUAUGAUUCCGUACUCUAUUGAACACAUCUUUGCAAAGGCCUCUAAAAAGGGUGUUUUUGGCCUUCGCAUUCCAUUUCUCAUAAUUGAACUCAUCACCUACAAGAUUUGUGGGAUCUCUAGGUUGNNNNNNNNNNNNNNNNNNNNNNNNNNNNNNNNNNNNNNNNNNNNNNNNNNNNNNNNNNNNNNNNNNNNNNNNNNNNNNNNNNNNNNNNNNNNNNNNNNNNNNNNNNNNNNNNNNNNNNNNNNNNNNNNNNNNNNNNNNNNNNNNNNNNNNNNNNNNNNNNNNNNNNNNNNNNNNNNNNNNNNNNNNNNNNNNNNNNNNNNNNNNNNNNNNNNNNNNNNNNNNNNNNNNNNNNNNNNNNNNNNNNNNNNNNNNNNNNNNNNNNNNNNNNNNNNNNNNNNNNNNNNNNNNNNNNNNNNNNNNNNNNNNNNNNNNNNNNNNNNNNNNNNNNNNNNNNNNNNNNNNNNNNNNNNNNNNNNNNNNNNNNNNNNNNNNNNNNNNNNNNNNNNNNNNNNNNNNNNNNNNNNNNNNNNNNNNNNNNNNNNNNNNNNNNNNNNNNNNNNNNNNNNNNNNNNNNNNNNNNNNNNNNNNNNNNNNNNNNNNNNNNNNNNNNNNNNNNNNNNNNNNNNNNNNNNNNNNNNNNNNNNNNNNNNNNNNNNNNNNNNNNNNNNNNNNNNNNNNNNNNNNNNNNNNNNNNNNNNNNNNNNNNNNNNNNNNNNNNNNNNNNNNNNNNNNNNNNNNNNNNNNNNNNNNNNNNNNNNNNNNNNNNNNNNNNNNNNNNNNNNNNNNNNNNNNNNNNNNNNNNNNNNNNNNNNNNNNNNNNNNNNNNNNNNNNNNNNNNNNNNNNNNNNNNNNNNNNNNNNNNNNNNNNNNNNNNNNNNNNNNNNNNNNNNNNNNNNNNNNNNNNNNNNNNNNNNNNNNNNNNNNNNNNNNNNNNNNNNNNNNNNNNNNNNNNNNNNNNNNNNNNNNNNNNNNNNNNNNNNNNNNNNNNNNNNNNNNNNNNNNNNNNNNNNNNNNNNNNNNNNNNNNNNNNNNNNNNNNNNNNNNNNNNNNNNNNNNNNNNNNNNNNNNNNNNNNNNNNNNNNNNNNNNNNNNNNNNNNNNNNNNNNNNNNNNNNNNNNNNNNNNNNNNNNNNNNNNNNNNNNNNNNNNNNNNNNNNNNNNNNNNNNNNNNNNNNNNNNNNNNNNNNNNNNNNNNNNNNNNNNNNNNNNNNNNNNNNNNNNNNNNNNNNNNNNNNNNNNNNNNNNNNNNNNNNNNNNNNNNNNNNNNNNNNNNNNNNNNNNNNNNNNNNNNNNNNNNNNNNNNNNNNNNNNNNNNNNNNNNNNNNNNNNNNNNNNNNNNNNNNNNNNNNNNNNNNNNNNNNNNNNNNNNNNNNNNNNNNNNNNNNNNNNNNNNNNNNNNNNNNNNNNNNNNNNNNNNNNNNNNNNNNNNNNNNNNNNNNNNNNNNNNNNNNNNNNNNNNNNNNNNNNNNNNNNNNNNNNNNNNNNNNNNNNNNNNNNNNNNNNNNNNNNNNNNNNNNNNNNNNNNNNNNNNNNNNNNNNNNNNNNNNNNNNNNNNNNNNNNNNNNNNNNNNNNNNNNNNNNNNNNNNNNNNNNNNNNNNNNNNNNNNNNNNNNNNNNNNNNNNNNNNNNNNNNNNNNNNNNNNNNNNNNNNNNNNNNNNNNNNNNNNNNNNNNNNNNNNNNNNNNNNNNNNNNNNNNNNNNNNNNNNNNNNNNAACCUAAUGCUGAUACAUGGAACAUACAUAGCAGUGGGGAACUUGUUUGUUUUUUAAAAAAGAAAAAGAAAUGCUAAGGGCAGGACCUUCGGAUUUGAAGGUGUUGAAGAACAGCGAAACAUUGUUAUAGCCUUACAGGGCACGUUCACUCUGAAAACGCUGACCGAUCCGUUGCUGCCUGCAGUCCGGCUGUUUCGGCAAGAACCACUUUAUAUUGUGCCAAAAAGAAGAAAAAAAUAAGCAUGUCGGGCCCAGGCUUAAAGGGCCAUAUAAAAGACUUCUCCAUGUCUCGGUGGCCCACGAGAGCUGAAGCGGCAGAAGAACGCGUUCGUCCGGUCCGGUGUGAGCUUUUAGCACCACCUUGCCUGGCGAAGGCAGACGCGACGCGCGCUUGCGCUAUAAGAUGAGCGUCCCGUGCUCCUGUCUUCCAUACUUACCUGGACGGGAUCAACGGGCGAACAAGAAGGCCUGUGGUCUAGGUCAGUGGUCCGCAUUGCACGUGGCGGGUGCGCUGGCCUACCAUCUCCCCAAGUGGGAGAGUGGACGUCAUAAUUUGUGGCAGAGGGGUACGCGUCCGCGCGGCCCUGCGAAAUAGAUUUAAUUUAUGUCUGGUGUUUCGCGUCAAAUAUAAGAAAUUAAAAUUAGGUCUCGUAGGUCUUUCGAAUGUGGUCAUAGACCUCUGCUGGUCCAGAUCCAGCCAUUGAACUGGUGCAGUAAUUGCAUGAUGUGCUAAAAAUGAGCUUGGAAUAAACUGCUAAAAAACUAUGAAUUUUACUCAGUAAACUUCCCAGGCACUUUGCUAGCAGAUGUUUCAGUACAGCAAGGAACUUGAGAAGAGACCCGAGGAACCAUGUAGGUAGAUAGUUUUCAAGUGCUCUAGUCCUGAACAAAACAACAAGAUGCGCGGUCCCCGAUUGGAACCAUGUAGGUAGAUAGUUUUCAAGUGCUCUAGUCCUGAACAAAACAACAAGAUGCGCGGUCCCCGAUUGGAAAUAUUGACCUCAAUUAGGAAUAUUGAUAUCAUUGCCUGCAGGUGGGAUCUGUUGCGCGGUCCCCGAUUGGGAAUAUUGACCCCGAUUGGGAAUAUUGAUAUCAUUGCCUGCAGGUGGGAUCUGUUGCGCGGUCCCCGAUUGGGAAUACUGACCCCGAUUGGGAAUACUGAUAUCAUUGCCUGCAGGUGGGAUCUGUUGCAGUAUUCAAUGAAUAAGUAUCAAUCUCUUCUCUGCGGUUCUGGGGAAGCGGUUGUAUGUCUGGGUCCUGGGCCAAGUAGAUUGAUCGUUUGUUUGAUAUUCCCGCUAGAAUAUUUUCCAAGAAGGAAUCCGGGGAUGUCCAUGAUUCGAGUGAUAUUGGCGCUCCACUUUCAUAUGGGAUCUCUUUCGUAUUGGAUGUGGAUGGGUCUAGAGAAUGGCAUGGCCUGUACUUGUUGUGAGGAAGCCCACCUGUUGCGAAGAAUAGGAUCCAUCCCGUUGCCAAAGAAGAGGUUGCUUGUCAAAGAAGAGGCUGGUAUCGGCUUUCCCUAGUGCUCCCUGGCAAUAUUUCCACAAGAUGCCCGUAUACAGAUUUGAAAGAAUUUCAUGAAUGAGAUCAUUUCUGUUGCGAGGAAUGCCAUUGGCAGUCAACUCUUGACUCGUAUCUUGAGAAUGGACGCUGGCCUAAACCCCUCUUUGGAGUAGGCCUACCUUUCUAAGGCUGUCUACAACAAUGUCCUCUAAAUUUCGUUCUCUAAAAGAAUAUUCUCUGUCCUUUACAGCACUCCCUAAAAAAUUUCGUCCUCUAUAUAUUCUCAAUCUCCAGCAACGUUCUCUAAAUUCGGUCCUCUAUAUCUACAGUGUUGACAGAAUUUAGAAACUAUCAUAUUUAUUCUAUCUUUUGCAUAUAAUUUGAAUUUGUCCUAAUGUACUUAAUUCAAAAAACCUAAUUAACAUUUUGCGCUACGUCACUUUUUUAGCAUAUAUAUUAAUUAAAAAACUAAUAACGAGCUGUAUGUUCAUGUUUUUUUGGCUGUUUUCGUUUGCUUGUCCUCCACCUAGCCUUUUUCUUUGGCCGAACACGCUACAGCCUACAACACCAGACCAAGCUGUCGCUCCUCGAUUCCAUUCAUGGCCGCCGCCGCCGCUCCUCAGAUCUCUGUCCAUGGCUAGCGCCACCUCCACUCGGUCGUCUGCUACAAACGCCACUGCCUCUCUUCCCAACAACGACUCCUUUCUCCAACCAAGCCCAAGAAAUCGAUGCUCGCGUUUGGCCGGAUGAAGCGACUCCGUGCGCUGCUGGUCGACGGCGGCGUGCUCCAUGGUCAUCGCCGCCGCCGCCGCCGCCACCUCCCAAGUCCGUGCUCGAUUUCACAGGAAGGACAGAUAGCGGACGCACAGUGAAUCGCUGAGAAUAGCGUGUACGAACAUCGUCCGGUACUUUAGCGACUGGUUUAGCCUUCGUUGCUGGAGGAUGUAGCGGACGCUUGGAUCGCUAAAUUUAGCGUACAGGAGUGUAUAGAGUUUGUUGUUGAAGACAACCUAAUCUAACAAGUGAAUACUAAAUACUUACUAAACUAAACUAAACAAAGUAGUAGAUUUCUUCCGUCACAGCUCUGCAGCUGUCCCUCACCAAUGUCAAAGAUAGGCCACGGAUUACAUUCAAGGGAUAUCUUGCUGAUCAGUGCGAUAGGACGUGGUAGUCAUUGCUUUAUCUUGAUUGCCGCAUAUUAUGGUUCCCAUACAACACAUUACUGACAGAGUGGUCUGAAAUUCUUAUCUUCUAUGAUGCAGGCAUUCCAAUUCCAAUCAAAGCUUGAACUAUUUCAAGGUCAGAUGCAAUUGCAGAUCCCAAGUACUAGCAACCAUUUGUCCUCCCCCUUGGGCUGCAUUUUUUGCAGCUACUGUAUUUGGGAUGGUUGCCAGAAAUAAGGACGAAUUAUUCACGCAAAUCAUAUUCAGAAGUGAGCUAAGGCAGACCUGAAAACAGUCAAUGGAGUAAUGCGAUGUUCCCAUGGCUCUGUCGUUGCAGGAGCAGAAGACUGGAAGGUACGAGCCAACUUGAAAGGAACAAUCCUUCUCUGAACCAUGAGCAGAUGCUUCUUCCUUUGUACUGUACAGUACAGUACUGUACUUACUGCGAAUGUGAUGGUUCGAUGAAACUAUGGCCGCUUGACUUCCAUAUCAGACUGUGGCCAAGAUGUAUGUCCUGUACAUUAGUAAGCUCGGAUGGUACCCAUGCUGCUGAUGCAGUUUCUGUAGCAUUUGUUUCCGUUGACAUAAAACUAAGAUUGUAGAAUUCUGGUUAGAGGCAAGCAUGAUGUACAAGUGAAUGUCUUGAACCAUUCCAAAGUCCAUUCAGUAGCAUUUGUCAAUGUUCAUCUUGACAAUGUUAAUGAGUACCGCUGCACAGGCUGACAUCUUCCAGGAAUUAUAUAUGAGGUACAGAAAGUCGACCCUCGUUGCCGUCUGUGUUCUGAAUUUUGAGGGUUUCCUUUAGCUUGUUUGUUGUAUGUUGGUUGCACAGAAAGGUUUUAAAGGUUAAUACACUACACAGUGAUCAGACUGGCUCAAAAACUGCCUACCUUUGAUUCGGAGCUCAAACUUUGGCUGAUAAUGAUGCACUAGUUGUACUCUAAAAAAACAUAUUACUGGCUGACAAAUUAGAAUUCUUUAAUAUGUUUUUGGCUGAUAACGAAUAGAGCACGGAUUUAUACAACUUAUCUUUGUUGAGAGCAAUUUUCACAACCAGUUGUAGUACUCUGGAAAUAUUAGUGCGGCCAACAGACACUACACAUUGAGUGAAAAUAGGCACGCAGACCUCAUUGUUAGAGUUAAAAACACGGAUCAUACGCUGCAUACAUUUACCUUGGUUAUUGAUUAUAGACAAUAGCUAAAAGUAGUAGGUGCAAUUAAGUGCAAAAACGACCGACAGUAUAUACAGACAAAUUCGAGAGAGAGAGAGAGGCAAGCACUAUACCAAAUCCAGAGGAUGUAGGUAGGCCGAUAGCAGACUAUGUGAUGUGAGAAUACAAAGCGACACAAGCACCGAUUGGGCGCAUACAGACAUCCGCUCAUGUUUCAGUUUUCCCCGCCUAGAGGAGCCCGGCCAGCGCGCCGGAACCACGUCUUGAAUGCCGUGACCAGAUGCGGGCAGUCAUCGACAUUGCGAGUCGAGAACCCCAGGCAUUGCUGCAGCAGCUCCUGUGCUUCUAGAAAAGGCAAUGUGGAGAUGAUCUGAAGAAACGCCCCCUCCAGCUCUUGGCAGUUGGUUGAUUUCUGGGAGUGCAUUGGUUGAACAAUGUCCCGGCAGACGUUUAGGACAGGGAGCCAGCUUCUGACGAGCAUCCUCCUCACCUGAUGAAAAGACAUGUAGAGCAGUUUCAGAUACAAAGAGAAACACAACUUCGUAAGUUAUUAUCAGAAUUGAGAUAGCAGGUUCCAUUUGACAAGAAUAAGAUACCAAAGUACUGCCGCAUUGCUCAAAGGAAACACCAGUCGGUAGAUACACAACAUAUAAGCCAGGACAAAAAGGGCCACAGAGGCCAAGCCAUAUACUGUGGAUGAACGAACGAAGGGGGGAAAAUGAACAUCAAAGAGACAGAGAUGUAGCCAAUUCAAAGAGUUGUGCUUCAUCAAAACAAAUAAACAAACCACAAGCAGGAGGCUACUUACUGGAGCAUGACAUGCCAAAUACAUAAAAAACGAGUUCAACAAUUUGAACUGUCAUCUUCAACAUAUAACAGUAAUCAAAGAGUCCUUAGUUAUUCAUAAAAAGAUUAUGUGAUGUCCUGAAAACCAAUUACGAACUCUGCAAUUUUAGCAAAGCGUACAAUAAGUUUUUGGCAGAAACCUACAGAGUAGUCUCUUCAGCAAACUAAACAUAUUAUAACCUGCAGCUACAUACUGCUUCAUUUACUGGAAAACAUGAUGUAAAUAUUAGUCAUGUGAUAAAAAGGGCAACAAUUGACAAAUGGAGUGCGCAAUAUUCUGGGAAAGCCUUUUAUAGGGAAAGGCCAUCAACUUGCUUAAGUUUAGAAAAGCAAGCAUGUCCUUGGACAUAAUUAGUUUGGAGCCUUCAUGCAACAGUUAGAUUUUAUGAUGACAAAAAUACUGGUGGUGUUUCUUUUUUAGACGUCGGCAGUGAUCUAGCCUUGCUGACAAAUCUGAAAAAAGAUCUGAGCGUUUUAGUUUGCUUGGCCGACCGAGAAAAAAAGUUCAGUCAGAUUUUUAUUCAAUCGUAUCGUCUUGUAUACUUUCUCUAGGAAGGACAAAGAUUAAGCAAUAAUAGUCCCAAGGAUUUUAUGAGCAAGGUCUGAACUGUUUCUAUUAGAGAGACAAUUCAACAUAUCCUAGUUUCUUGUGUGUUCUCUAGACAGGUCUGGGCUGCAGUCUUGCACAAGCUUGGUCUAUCGGCUGCUGCCCCUCUGCCUGACGCUAACAGUUUCUACAUAUGGUGGAGCCAGGCUGUCAAGGAAGUUCCAAAGGAAUUUAAUACUGUGAUCAUCUUGGUUGCCUGGGAGGUUUGGAAACACCGGAAUGCCUGUGUUCGAAGGGGCAAAACCAUGUUUCCAGGCUGUUAUGCAGGCUGUGUCCAAUACCAGCAGCAUUUGGUGUAUGGCUGGAGCUUCUGCGCUACAUUCCUUGCUCCUGCAGUCGCUCACUCCGGAUUUUAAUCCGUGAGUCAUGGUCUUUAGGACAGGGUCGAGUCUUUUUGUAAAUCCGACGAGUCUGUAAAGACUCUUUUGUUCAGAAGUAGGUGCUAUCCCUCUCCUUUUGUAACCCACCUUUUUCUUUCUUAAUGAAAUGACACGCAGCUCUCCUGCGUAGUCCGAGAAAAAAAGUAGAAACAUAAGGAACCCUGAAGGGAGAAUACAAAAGGUUAAACAAUGACACAUUUUUAGAAGAAGCAAUUGGAUUAGAGGUGAAUGAGUAGACAAAGCAACAAAGGGCUCACACAAGAAACCAUGGCCCACAAUGUGUUCAGUGUUUUUAGACAACCUCUACGGAACCAAAUAUACUAUGUCCAAUUUUCUCAUUAGACUCCUAAGUAAAGCAAAAAAUUAUUGAAUUAUUCAACAAUCCUAACCCUCUUAUCACUGAAAUCAUCUCCUAGCUUAAAGGACAGACCUAGUGCCGGAGGCAAGUGGGGUCUAAAUAAGGAUAAACUGAGGCAGGCCUUCCCCGCAAAUAGGGAGAGACUACUUCGAACCCGUGACCUGGUGACUCAAUAAGACAGCUUUCACCAGAAUAAGGCCUGCCCAUCAGCUCUUAACCUAAAGCUUCUCCUUAGAUCUCUUCUCUCUCUCUCUCUUUUUUGCCUGUAGCAUAAACCUCUGGUCUAAAUUCAAUCCAGAUUCAUGAUUAAUUAACGAAAGAUAUCUUUAUCUUUCUUUCAGCCCUUGACCAUCAAUAACUCCAAUUAGAAUAACAUUUAAAUACCUGAAACUUAAUCUUUAUUGGAAUCACUCCUAUAUAUUCAUUCAGUAGAUAAUCACACUCCCGAGUCAACAUUAAAACACUUAUACAGGUUGUAUUACCAAAACAUGACAAUACAAUCUACACCAUUAAUAGUUGGUUAAUUGAGAAUUGAAACUCACAUCAAACAUAGAUCACUCUUUAAAUAUUAACUCUUUCAUCAGUCCGACCUGUCACUGAUUAAUCUUGUUCACAAACUAUUAAUCUGUUUAAUGCACACAAAUAAGACACAAAGCUAAUCAGGGGGGAGAGGGGGGGGGGGGCAGACCCAGUCGAAGGCUCCCACAUGAGUGGGAAAAGACACAAGCUAAUCGAUAUAUCAGUAUAUACUGAAAGGAAACAUAUUAGGUGAAAACCAACACAUUGACGGAGGUCAAAGGGUGUAUUUGAAAAUAUACCAGGAGAGGUGGAAGAGUCGUUUUGAAAGCUGAUGAACGGUGGGAGGGUUGAAAAAUUAUCAUGACUAAUUGUAUGGUUUGCACCCGAUACGUUCCCAUACUCAUAAAAGAUGGUUUUGCUCUGUGAUUUGAUACACUACCAAACACCUAUGAAAAUUAUGAUUGGUCAAUACUAUCAACCCUAAUUACCAAACAAUAUGGUAGAGACCUUCUAGACUUCUUAGAUCACACCCAACAGAGAUACCCACUGAGGCCCUGAUAGCCUGAUGAGUUAUAUGAAGUCAUUAUUAAACAUAUUUCUUGAUUUUAAUAAAUUAACCAUAAGGAGUAGGAUAAGAUUAUGAUAUAUCUUACUAGUAAUUAAUGGUCAAAGUGCAUGGAAAACAGCUAUCCAUGUGUCCGAACCUUGACUUAUAGGUUCUUUUCGGUUUUUAACUCGAACCUACGGACCUACCCAACUUGCUUGGAAUAAAAGGCUUUGUUGUCGUUGCUGCUGCUGUUGUUGUAAUCAAUGGUCAAAGUAGUAUGCCGGUGACCAUGUCAGUGCCCACAUUGAUGCACUAUUAGAAUUGGAAAGAGUGCUCCAAAAAAUCUGUGCUUCCUUUUUCAUCUAUCCAUUAUAUUGAGUGGAAGUAGAUUCCACUUCAAUUCAGGAGCUCAAACAAAUUUAUGACUGAAGUAAGGAUCAAUCUAGAACUUCUCAAAAGAACAUACUCAGAUAAAUCAAGAUACAUUACAUAUCAACAAAGUUAUCUUGCAAAGCCAACACUGUAUCGGCACAAUAUAGAACCUACUUUCGUUGUACUGAGACAUCAACAAAAACAGUAUGCAAGCCAUGUCUGGCCUUUUCAGGCUUACCUAUAAGCAAUCGAACACAUUAGGUACUAAUUUGUAUUAUGAGAAAAGAUGAAUAAAACACAUGCAUUGGCUUAUAAUAAUGGAACAUUCCAUUAAAAAGUCUUAUAAGCUGUGGCAAGUUAAACCAUUAUAACAGAGCACAGUAUUAUAUUGACAUAAUAUCAACUUCUUUUCAAAAGAAGGAAAUAACAUGCAGGUAGCAUCUUCUAAGUUCUAACUGAAUUGUCACAUUUAUAAUAUACUCCCCAGUUUCAAUUUAUAGGUCGUAUUGGCUUUUCUAGAUACACAGCUUUUAUUACCUUCACAAGAUACAGGCAUACAGCAUGCAUAAAGUUGGUGCAAUAGAAAGAUUAUUAUCAGUUAGUAGACUAACCUGCCGAGGUACCAGAGUCUCCCCAGUGAUGACUGAAUUGGCGAGCUUGAGUGUGCAACGAGUCACAAGCAUUGGAAGCCCAGGCGUCAUGUUCCGCCACAUGUCUGCAUCAUUCAGCAACUUCUGCAAAUCAGUAGCCAGGGCAGCUUGAUCACUCCACAGCGUCACCGCAUUAUCUGCCACCCUCAGAUCGACCAUCCUCUCGAUGAGCCAAUACAGGUGUUUCACAUUCAACACCGCAGACUGCAGGUUAAGCCUCUGUAUGGCCUCGCGUUCAUCACUGUCCACCGCAACCCUGAAAUCCGGGCUAGCGUACUUCCCCAUGAGUUCCUUGAUUGUGUCCAGGCGCGACUGAAAUGCCUCGUCGAGCACCUUGUGGACGCAGUUCCGCGACGGAUAGUCCUUAAGGAGCAUCGCUACGAACGCCUUGGUGGCAGCGUGGACGGGGUGGCCAUGGAUCGCCGAGUGGAUCAGGCCGUGCAGCAUCGCCUCGGAGGGCGACCUGGGGGCCACCCCCGCAGCGGAAGGGCCGGCGGCGACGGGAGGAGGAGAAACCCUGGCGAGCAGGUCGGCUGCCUCAUCGGCGGGGAGGAGCCGCGCCAGGUCGAUGAUGCGGGCCUCCUCGUCCUCGGACCAGGGCACGGCCUCGAGGAAGCGGAUGCAGGCCUCGACGCAGGCGUCGAAGAGGAGCAGGAGUGCGAUGGGGAGGAGGUCGAGGGCAUCGUCGGGGGAGCGGAUGGCACCCGCGAAAUCGAGAGUGUGGAGGAGGCGGAGCACCUCGAUGUGGGCAUCGAACGGGCGGGGACAAGAGGGGGGCGCCACCACCGCGAGGGAGAGGCGGCCAGUCGCGGCGGUGGGCCAGCGGUCGGAAAGGAGGGCGGCGAAGUAGCGGGAGCGGAGGAGGGACGCGGACGAGACGUGCAGGUCGACGAAGGUUCCGGAUGAGACGGCUGCGGAGAGGUGGCGGUCGAUGUCGGGCUUGACGUCCACGUCGUCGGGGGAGGAGGGGUUGAGGAAGAGGCGGAGGACGACGUCGGCGUUGGGGAAGGUAUGCGGGUUGGGAGAGCUGGAAGUAGACGGGGGAGCGGGAGGGGACGGUGGCGAGCAGAAGGCGGUGAGGCGGGAGCUGCUCGCCGAGCGCUGGCGCUUGCGGAGGGACAUCGCCGUCGGCGUCGAUGUCGGUAAUUGGGGAUUUAUUUCCUUUUCUCUUUGGGGUGGGGAUAGUUGAGAGGCCGCGAGGGGGUACGGCCAAUGCGUCAGUUGCGCGCUUGAAAUUGGAAGGGACACGCAGAGGGGAUUCAGAUUAGGUUGUCCCUAACAACCGUUCUCUAUAUUCAUUAUUUAUAUUGGUUCUUUAUCGUCUUCUCUAAAAGAUUUUAUCAUUUAUAUCUGCUUUCUCUCGAACAACAUCCUCUAAAUCACGUCAUCUAUACGUAAAUACAUAUAUUAGAGACAUUUUUUAUUUUUUUUAAAUACGCAUUUGUCAUACUCUCAAAUGUAUUGUACAUAUUUUAGUUUUGCUAAACCGAUUAUUUAAAGUAUUCAAAUGGAAUUAGAACCGUUUAGAUAAACUAUAUAGAGAGAGAAUCCAACAAUAUUCUCUAAAUUUAUAGGACCAUUUAGAAAACGCUGCUGGAGAGAGUAGAUAAUUAUUUGAUCCUCUAUAUUUAGGAUAGAGGAACAUUUGGCGGCCUUUGUUGGAGCAAGCCUUAGGAUGAGGAUCCGUACAUGAAACCUGAUCCUGGUCUAAUAAAUUUUCCGAGGUUAUGUUACAUUUCCUUUUCUUUUGACUUAUGUUGAAUUUUGUUUUCCCGUGCUCGAAGUGUUGGCAUACACACGCAAGGGCGGACCCAAAAAUUAGUUGUGCCCCCGACCGCCUUGAGCACCUGUUUCGAUAGUCGUUUCACGUCAUAAUAACAAAAACUCACUCAGUUUUCGUUCAAAACAACCUGUAGUACUCCUCUCCCUUCCUUUCUCUCUGUGCCAGAUUCACGUGUAAGCAAUGACAUAUGUUUUACUCCAGUCAUCGUCCUCCCCAUAUCUCCCGCUGCGCCGAAUUAACCCCCCACCCUCGCGCGCCCGUAGGCAUCUCACAGCUACCACCACGCGGAUCGAAUGAAGACUUGUCCGAUGAAAGCCUUAUCUACUACGCAUUCGUUAUCAACAUCGGGCUACAAAAGGGAGGAGGCGAGAUCAGGUCCACCAAGUAGUCUCGUCGGACUUAUCAAGCGACGGCGGCGUGCAACGGCCUGGGGGAGAGCAGGCAUACUGAUGGUGAUAGAGGACGAGGACAACAAGCUGCCGACAUUCGUGGGUUACUCUUCAUCGUGCGGUCCUCAAGCACCAGGUCCAGAGACGAGCGAGAGUUGGAGCCCGCUUUCCCCGGCCUAUGGCGCCUACGACUAGCUAUCGCCACCCAAUCCAUAUGGCCGCGGGAUUCCAUGGUCGCGCGUCAAUCGACCCUGAUCUGUACGGCCAGCCUCUGCCCGGUCCACGUAUGUGUGGGCCUGGGAUGCCUACGAUUGUAGCGAUGAAGGCUAGCACCCCCACGUGGGGACGGGUAUGGCAACAUCGUCCACGUCGCACACAAUGUCGGCGCUGAGAGGCCUCACUACGGCGGCUAGGCGGUGCCUACAUACGUGGUGGCUCCAAAGGUAUAUACUUGCACUUGCAUAUCUUGUUAAUUGACCUUUACCCUCUGGUAUGUUAAUUGUGUUCUACAUUAUAUUUCCAGCACGAUUGAACAUAGCUAUAAUGCAAGCUGCAAGUCAUUUUGCAAUUUUAACUUUUUUCAGAAAUAUGUAGGAUGCAGAGCCUAUCAGCCUAACCUUCCAAUGUUGGAAGAUAAGGAUGGGCUAAUACUGGAAAUUGACGAUUUUGAGCUCCUAACUGCAUGGAAGUUAAAGUACAUUUAUCUUUACUAUAUUUCCUACAAUUGGUUGCUCAUAUUUCAUAGUUUCUGAUGAUCAUUAGUUUAGACUUUAGAGUGAAGGUUUGCUUGUAAUUUUUUUGGACGUCAAAAACUAAAAGGCUUGGGUUCGGCAUCAAGGAUGUUGGUGCCCAUAGGUGCAUACUACUGUUGCUUCAUAUAAUCUGAAUCCAUUUCGAUUUCAGUUUGUGCAAUAGUUGUUAGAUAGCAGCAGAACUCGUAGCUUGAGGAUGCACUGUUGCAGAUUUUAAUCCUUACAUUUUUGAGCCAAUUUUUGGGUAGCAGCAUAACAUGUAGUUGUUGUUUGUUCUGUGUCGCAUGAGCGUAGAGUUGGCUAGGGCGAACAAUCUCAUAGUUGUUGUUUGUUCUGUGUCGAACGAGCGUAGAGUUGGUUGGCAUGAAGUGGACAAUGCUAGGCAUCCAUUGUAGCCUAUUCGUUUGACUUUAAUCUGCACCGGCUUCUACUAUUUUUAGCUUCUACUACUUGUAGAGUGUUUUGUCUUUAUGGAUUACACCUGCAGCGGCCCAAACUGCUCAGUUUAAUCUGAAGCUAGCCAUUGUAACCUAUUUGUUUAGUUUUAAUCUGUACCGUCUUCUACUACUUGUAGAGUAUUUUGUCUCUAUGGAUUACACCUGUAGCAGCCCAAGCUGCUCACUUUAAUACGAAACGAACGGUGGGCAGUGACUCGAUGAGAGGUAGAACGUAGGCCUGCGACACUGAUACUUGUUCUGUUAUUCCUAAUCCAUAUGGAUUGACAAGGAUUAGAUGGGAUUAUGGUGUAUUUUGACUCGCUAUGGAUUUAAACCAAUCCAAAAUUAUCAAAACGAACAAGCCAUGAAGUGGAUGGACUCAGAUUGAUACUCAAUUUUGGAUUGAAAAUUAGGAAAACUAGACCAACAAAGAUAGUAAUACCAUAUGGAUUGACAAGGGAUAGAUAGGAUUAUGGUGUAUUUUGACUUGCUAUGGAUUUAAACUAAUCCAAAACAUAGAAAGAACAAGCCAUGAAGUGGAUGGACUCGGAUUGAUACUCAAAAUUGGAUUGGAAAUUAUGAAAACUAUACCAACAAAGAUAGUAAUAACAUAUAAGCGAGAAGUGUAAAUGAAAAGUGCAAGUGAGCAUCCAAAUUUAAUUAAGGCUCUGUUUGGUUAGAGGGAUUAAUCUAGUUUUUACUCUCGUUUAGUCUCUAUUGUAUCAAUGCCCUUGCUUAGAAACUAGAAAACUGGCGCGAAACAAGGUAUUUUGGUCUCUAUUUUGUCAAUGCCCUUGCCUAGAAACUUGCAUAGAAACUAGAAAACUGGCGUAAAACAAGAAAAAUAUUUUAGUCUUUAUAUGUUGCAAAAGUUUAGUCGCCUAUGAACUAAUUUUUGGUCUCUCCAUUUUUUCAUUUAGUUCCUAAUUUGUCAAAUACAAAACUAAAAUAGAGUUUUGGUUUCAGUAUUUGUUAAUUUAAGAACUAAAAUAUAGUAAAAUGAAGAUACUAGAAAUUAGUGACUAGAAACCAAACACCCCACAGUGGAUCAAAUCUCUACUAUAUUAAAACACUAGUUUCAACGAUCGUUUCGUGUCAUUAUUUUUUUAAAAAAACCUACAUUUCUUUAGAAUCAACCCGCACUUCUAUAACCUCUUAGCUACUAUUAUAAUAGAAGAGCUUAUGUAAAAAAUAAGAUAAAAUAAUAUAUAACUAAAUGUCUAAAUCUUGAUUGUUGGCUUCACGUUUACAUCCACAUAAUCAAUAGAAAACAUAUAUUUUAUGCUUUAUUAAAAUAAAAUUUAUCUUAUGUUAUAUAUAGUCGUCUCGUGCCAUUAUUUUUUAUAAAAACCUAUAUUUCUUUAGAAUCAAUCUUUAGAAUCAAUCUGUAACCUUGACCUUGAUUAUUAGUUUCACGUUCACGUCCACUUAAUCAAUAGAAAAUAUAUAUUUAUGUUUUAUUAAAACAAAAUCAAUAGAAAAUAUAUAUUUAUGUUUUAUUAAAACAAAAUUUAUCUUAUGUUAUAUAUAAAAACCUAACAAUGCACAUAUAUUAUACAUAAAAAUAACAUAUAAAAUCAGUAGCAAUGUACAGGCAUAGGCAUAGCAAGACGGACUCGUCCGUACCCGUGUCGACGAGCGUCGGUUGACUCGUGGCUAUGAUCAUUAGCGGGAGCAGCAGGUUAGAGAGGAAAAUAGGGAAAAGGCCGGCACGACGAACAAGACGUCCGACGAAAACGAUGGUACACACAUGCUGUGAAAUGUCCUCGUAGACGUACAAUAGCCAUUACAUGUGUCGGUGUUUGACGAAUAUGCGCACUCUGCCGGCACGGAGAUAGAGGUAUGAGGGGAGAGAAAAAAACACGGAGAUAGAGGUAUGAGGGGAGAGAAAAAAACAUGAUAACGAACGAGAUGCGAUAACGAUGACUAAGAUGAAGACCAUCGUUAUCGUGUAGAGUUAUAGAUAACCAAAUAGACCGUGUCUACCGAACCAAUCCAGGACAGACCCAUCUAAUAGUGUCUGGAUCAAUCCGGCACGAGCGCCCUGUCAUAACCAAAUAGACCGUGUCUACCGAACCAAUCCAAGACAGACCAAUCCGAAACAGACCCAUGCCAUAACCAAAUAGACCGUGUCUACCGAACCAAUCCAAGACCGAACCAAUCCAAGACAGACCAAUCCGAAACAGACCCAUCUAAUAGUGUCUGGAUCAGUCCGGCACGAGCGCCCUGUCAUGAUAUAGCUUAACAUAUUGAUGUCACUACUGCGGUUAGGGCCCCAUGAUGUAGCUUAACAUAUGGGUGCCACUAGUGCUGUUAGGGCCGCAAAGUUACUCAAGUUUGUAUAUUGCAGGCGCAAAAUAAUUGUGGCUUGUAUUACAUAGAAGCAAAGAGCAGAAAUAACAUGUACUAGCACGGAAGCUCCUUGAAACAGCUUACUAUUUUUUUUACAUCUCAGCAAACUUGGAUAGUACUGUAGUAUUUCGAAAGCAGCCUAGCGAACCACGCUGAGUACGUGACGCGCCCAGAGGCCGGGAGCAAAGCGAACUCGACUAAACUAAACGCCGACAGCCCUGCCUGAUGUCGCCGCCGGCGCCUCUAGGCGGUGGCAUGCUUCUCGUCCUUGAGGUGGCGCGCCUUCUCCUUCUCCUUUACCUCCGAGCCCUGCGACGUGUCGUACUCUGCACAGAACAGACCACAGCCGGUCAAUACACCGUCACACACACACACACAAGCUGGAAGACCAGAGCUCGCGUGCACGGCGCGUACCGGAGUGGCUAGGAUGGAUCUCGGCGCCGGGGUGUUCCACGGGGUCGUUCCCGCCGUACACCCCGCCGAAGCCCUCCUCGUCGGAGCGCGUCGAGUACCCCUCCCCGAACGAGUGGGUCAUCACGUCCCUGCAUGCGCGUGACGUGACCGAAACCAAUCAAACGCAGGAGAGAGAAAAAAGCAUACCGCGGGGUGAGCGCGUAGUAGGUAGGAGACGCGGCGGAUCAGGGUUACCUGGUGUGCUUGUGCAUGUCGUCGCGCUUGUUCUCGCCCCCGGCGGCGUCCUGCGGGGGCACCUUGGGCUGCUGCUGCUGCUGCUUCGGCUGCUCCAUGCCGACGCCCUGGUCGCCCGGCACGGGUGCGCUGCCGGCCGGCGUCGAGGAGACGCUCCUCCCGCGUGCUACGCCCGCGGCGGGUACCACCAAGCCUGGCGCAGCGACGCCGCCGCUCCUCGUGGUGCCGCCGAUCCGGCCGAGCGCGAACCCGAGUGCCGUGCUGCUGCUGCUGCUGCUGGCGGCCGCCCGAAACGUGUAGGGGUACAUGAGCAGCAAUGAAGUGGACGCACGCGCACGGCGAUGUGUUCCUAGAGCACGGGCCAGGAGCCGCUUAUAAGCGGCCGCGCCUGCCGUGGGGCUGCCGCCGUCGCGGUGGCGCCGCGCGCGGGGGCACACGUACUGGGGCGCUCCUUGAAGGCCGAAGGCAGCGUGGCGCCGUGGACCGCGCGGAGGCCGCACACGUACACGGACCGGUACACGCGCCGAGCGCACGAUGGGACUCUGCCAGCUAGGGAUGAAAGCGGUAAUCUGAACUAUUAGAACAAAUUUAAUAUUUUAAAAUAGAUAUGCAUAAAAUUUAAUGUUGAUCUUUUCUUAUGUUAUCAAGCACAUUAGUACACAUAUGAAUAAAAUAAUACACAAAUUGUUUUAUGUAUUAUUUGCUCCCUACAACACGAAACGUUGAAAAAAUUACCGAAUUUAUUUCCGAAUUCAUACCGAAGUUUAUAUCUAUUAUUUGAGAAAAUAUAGGAUGAAUUUGAGGUUUUCCUUUUAUGAAUCUUUACAAGCUGGAUGUUAAAAACAAGAAUACAAAUUUAUAUUGUAGAUUAUAUAUCCUAUUUAUUCGCAAUCAAAGAAAAACAACUAAAAAACUGACUACCGAAUAAAUACCGUUUCCGACCGUUUUCAUCCCUACUGCCAGCGGUCUCGUCGAAGAAAAGCGCGCAGAAGAUAGGGACGGUCGUGUCGUCAGUCGCGCCGAUCUCUCUCGCACGCACGCGACUCGCGUCGCGUCGCGGGUCGGCGGGUGGCUACUGGCUAGGUCGAGUCAGUGUAUGUGUGUAUCCGUAUCCGCCGUACUGGCGAUUAUGGGACGGUGACACGAGCUCCCGAUUCUUCAUUUGUUGAUUAGUCGGAAUUCUAUCCGGUUUUAGAAUUAGUUUACUUAUAUUGAUAAAUAUAAUACGACGCUCCACAACUACAACACGGUGCUGAUAAAUAUUUAAAAUAUAACUUUAAAUACAGUGAUUUUUAUAAACAAUAUUUUAUUUACGGAAAUAAUAUAGUUUAUUAUUCCUAAUCGCAGUAGGAACGAAAUGUGUCGGCCGAUAGUUUCCGUCGAGGUUAGGUAAACUUUUGUCACGUCAUAUCAAAUAUUUAAUACUAAUUAAAAAUAUUAAAUAAAAUAUAAUUACAAACUAUUACAUAGAUAAAAACUAGACGACAAGAUAAAUCUAUUAAAUAUAAUUAAUCUAUAAUUCACUUAUGUGAUGAUGUUACAAUAAAUAUUUACUAAUCAUAUAAUGAGUCUAAAAUAAAUUUUAAUUUGAAGUAGAAGGAGUAUAUAUGAUUAAAAUGGAAGGAAUACCAUGACUGCAAAAACACACCCUUAGGACAUGUUUGGAAGAAAGCAAACGGAUAGGAUUUAAGAGACUAAAAUCUUAUUGAUAUUUAAAAUUAAACAACAAAGGUAUUUUAAUCUCCUCCCUUCCCUGCCUCCCAAACAUACCCUUUCUGUUCGACAGGCAGUACAAUCGCUGAAGAAUGUGCCAUACUAUCCCGUGAUCCUACCACGUGCUUGUGCUAAUCUGUUUUGGACAAAUGCGCAAGUGCAACCAUGCACUCAUUAAAGACCAAAUCUGAGGACAAGAUUACGAAACAGUGCACCUACCACCAUGGGCACAGGCGCACAGCCUACGGUAUGCCAAUUUCACUGUGAUCCUCCAGUAACCUCCGUUUCUGCUGGAGUCAACUUUGCCUUUUGCAGCUACUGUACCUCUCCUUGGACCGACGACACUACACGCAAUCCACCUCUAAGCAUUCUGAUCAUCUCACAACACAGGCUUGAAGCACAGAAACGAGGGGACACGCGCUUUCAGCCUGCUGGGGCACAGGCUUAGCGUAGCUAAUCCAACCCCUCCAGUCUGCUGGGGCAGAAGAUGUCAAGCAAGCGAUUGUUGAUUAGAACCCUAGUCGGCAGUAUAUGGUAGUAAACCCCACGCGUGGCUUCCUAAAAAUGUGUCGGGUCUCGACUUGCUAUCGCUGAUGGCAUGGCAACGUCAACGUGGGACCCGCCGACAGCUAGAAAUGGCUUCAAACUCAAGCUGCAUGGAGGUAAGCGAGCGAACAGUUCAACUAGGCGGCAGUCAGCUGUAUCUGCUCUCUGCCAAAACAAGUCUGGGCUAUUUGAUGCUAUUGCAAGUCUCGGUCAGUUCAGGGCUAAGGUUGUAUUUGGUUUGGCUUUUUGCUUUGGUUUUUGCCACCUAAAAGCCAAAAGCCAAAUCAAAGGACUGGAUAUAGAAAACAACUUUUUCUAAAAGCUGUUUUUCUUACAAUGCAAAAUUGAAAGCAUCCUUGAAACUGUUUUUAGUGGCUUCCGGAUAUAACUGUGAAAACAUAUAUCGAAUAAUUUUUAACGGCUUUUAGUGGUUUCGACCAAACGGUUUUUAGCUUUUUAACAGCUCAUAGACCACAACAGUUUUUUCCACAACUCACAACCUACAUUAGUUUUUUUUUUUCACCGCCACAGUCCAACCAAACAUAAAGUUGCAACCCUAAGUUGCAAUGGACUUCUCUAUCACUGUUGGAAGAACUUGUGUUUUCUACAGUAAACUGCAGUCAAAAGAUGAAACUAGACAAAAUACACCUUCUUGAGAGACAUAACAUCCAUUGGAACAUAUGAAUUUCAAGAAGAAAAAACAGCAUCGCUCUCACUGCUUGGUCCAUAAUCAUGGCUUGGUGCGGGCCAACUAAACCAAAAAAGCCAUCGCUCCGAGUCCAGGUAUCUCGGUCACUGCGUGCGUUCCCAUCCAAGAGAAUGGCGACCGAAAGAGCCGCAAAAUAACGGCAGACAUACAGGAAAAUAAAUCUUUGCAUUCGGGAUACAAAGAAACUACUUUGGAGCCUCUCACAUCCCACCACUGUGGUCCAUACAAAUAAAAAAGAUUAAAUUACGAAAAUGUGAAAUUGCAAAUUUUAAUCUGUCUUUAUGGAUCUAAGCGAUGUAUGUGAGGAGCUGUAAAAGAGGACGUUUGUAUCUGGGAUGUAAAAAAAUAAUAAUCCGUAAUACGAUCCUUUCCGCUAAAGAAUGAAUAAUGACUUGUAGCUAAAAUGCAUUGAGUAAUGAAGAGGAGUAGCAAUUCUGACUCCAGAAGAAAAGGCUAAGCAUCAACAGAAAGGAAAUAUGCUGCCUUCCCCAUCGAGAUAAAGCGCCAAGCCUCCUAACAAAUUGCACGAAAAUGACAGCUUACAAUCAGAACAGCAAGGAUACAGGAUACAGUCAUACAGGGCGGGCGCUAGAGUAGGGUAAUGAGCGCAUUGCUUCUCUUUUCACAUAAACGGUGGCGUACCUGAUGUGCAUUGGAACACCUGCAACAUUCAUACGCAGCUACAUAGAAGAAAAAUGCAGAGAGCUGUCCGUGGUGAAUACUUUGAGAAACAAGGGUGUCAUUUGGUUCACGAAAUAUAACGUAAAUGGUAAUAGUAAUGAUUUACAGUUGAGUACCGAUGAUAACAAGUUUAAAUAGGUCAGUAUUAAUUUCUAGUAUGAUAUCUGAUUACGGUUGGACCAAACAUGAUUUAGUGUUAUCGGUUACCUAUUACGUUAUAAAUAUAUAGACCAAACAGCAACCAGCGACACAUGAGAACCAAGGCCUGAGGUCAUGAACCUUGAAAUGGCAACACAUGAGAGCUUGGGAAAGAAUGCAGAUUAAUGAAGUAGUAGCAAUUGACACGCUUAUAAAUGACAACCCUGGGGUAGCACGCAGCAUAAACUGGACAAUGCAAGGCUGACAUUAGGUGCAGAAUUUCAUUUCGUGCACUACACUACCAUUGGUACCAAAUACACGAGAAUAGUAGGUGCAAUAACACCACAUUUGUUAUACUAGUUAGCUUUGCGACUGUAAGCUUAUUGAUUGCAACGAUGGAGGUGCCUGCAUGCUUUUUCAAAUCCAUAGACAUAUAGAAUGACCACUCGCCACUGUCAUCAGAAUUCAGAAAACCACAUGAGCAAGCAGUCUACUCCACCUCACCUGCUAUCCAUUUCUAUACAUUUAGCGCUAAAUUUGCUCUAGCUACUGAUCAUGUAGAAGAACAAACAUCAAACAAGGUAACUAAAGUCCCCAAUUAUACCAUCUAGCCAUUGUCAUCAUUUUGGAAGGAAAUUAAGACAAUGCAAAACCAGUCUAUUCAUUUCUUCCCUGGUCCUAUGACAAUGCUACAUACAACAGCACCAAUACACACACAAAAAAAAAGGGACUCACCGCCAAGCGGACACGGUGAGCAGCGGCUGCUUCUCCCAAGCCAGAGACAAGAACGCCGGUGGCAGCUCAACAAGUGAAUACUUGUACUUGGAAUCGUAAUUCCAGAGCAAAAGAUCGGCCUGGCUCAUGGCGUAGUUGCUGAGCUUGACAGGCUCAAAGCCACACCACUCCAUCAGCGUCUGCCACUCCCUACUAGCCGCCAUCCUAUCAGUCCUCUCUGCGCCUUCCUCUGGCCCAAUGGCCCUUCGAAUGCGCUCCCCAAACAUGCAUCGCUCCACCCUCACCCUCUCCGGCGAGUCCCGUGGCAUCGCCACGUCCAGCGACUCGAACACUGGCUUGUAAUACAGCAGUGCAUUGGCAAAACGAUCGACGAACCCAGCUCGGUUCAGGCUGACCUCGUAUUCCCCAAGGGUAACCACCGAUGGAUCGAGCGACUUAACCAGCCGGAGGACACGUCGCACGGGCUCAUCGGAGUCGCCAAGGAGGUGGUACAACUGGAGCAUGAAAUUGACGGCUACGGUCUCGUCAGGCUCAACCAAGAAAUCCGACCGAUCCAGCUCGUGCACCGGCCGCAGCAACGGGACGAACUCGAAGUCCACCCCGAGAAGCUUGGCGAAGUCGCGGAGACGGGCACUGGUUGCGGCGAGGGACGCCGCAGGCUUUGGCCCCAGGUACGGCGAAGGCACGCCGGAGAUACGUACCCGGGACGGCUUCUCCCCCGGGCGAGUGGCGAGUGCCUGCAGCAGCGCCGCCCAUUGGAUACCCUGCACGAUCCCGAAGUCAACGAUGUGAAUCUUGGUCGCCGCGCCCGUAGCCUCCAGGAUGGCCUGGUUGGCGGUGAGGUGCGCGAACUUGGAGUAGGGGCAGGCGUCAUUGAGCGUCUUGUAGCAGAGCGUGAGCUCGUCGGGGGCGAAGCGCGAGUCCACCGCCAGCGAGGGUUGCGCUUGCGCCCCGCCGCCGCACGCGAGCCGGCGCGCCAGCGCGUCCGCGAAGUAGAACGCCACGCGCUCCGCGGGGUCCCCGUCGUCGGAAGCGGCAGCGCGCACCUCGGCGAGCUCCGCGGCAGCGAGCCCCGUGCCAGCGGCCGCUGUACGGGAGCAGGCGAGGAGGGACUGGAGGAUGGGCGCGGAGCAGGCGGCGUCCAGGGAGCUCGGAGAGGAACACGCUGCCGGCGCAGCGACGGCGGCAGGCUGGGGAAGCGACGCCGGGGUGGCGGCCUCGGGCUGGGCCGCCGCGUCGACGGGGGCCACAGCAGAAGCGGGAGCGGGAGCGGGAGCGGGUACGGGCGGCGGCGGCGGCGGGGUGGUGAAGAUGAGGCGCUCGAGGUCGGAGUCCGCGAAGACCGGCGCGUCCCCGAUGAGGCUGUUCAUCCAGACAUCGGAGUCGAAGUCCGCGGCGGCGGCGAGGUCCGAGAACACCGCAUCGGCCGCGGACGUGCCCACGAAGGCGUCAGGGAAGAAAUGGUCCGCCUGGGGCCACGCGCCGCCGCCGUAUGGCAGGGACGCCGCCGGGAUCUGGCCGUGCGGGGGCGCCGUGGCCGGUGGCAUAGGCAGCGCCUGGCGCGGCGGGGGCGGGAGCGGGAGCGGCAUCGGUAGGUGGUGGUGGUGGUGCCUCUGGUGCUCUUGCUGCUGCUGUUGUUGCUGCUGCUGGAUCACCUGCUGCGCGAUGGCCAUGAGGUUGCCGCUGUCGGCGCACAUGUACGCCAUGGCGCUCCCCGCCGUUUCCGGUGGUAGAAUCGCGGAAUGGUGUAGGGUGGGUAUCGGCGCGGCCGGGGAAUUCUGCGGUGUCGUUUUGGGAGAAUGAUGGAAGGGGGGGACGACGGCGGGGACGAGCGGCGGCAGGGGAUUUAAAACAGUGGUGUGGGCACUGUGGUGUACUAUGGUGGCAGUGGCACACACACUCGCAGGCCCUGCGCGGGGCGCAAUUACGGGACUGUCCUCGGGCGUACAGAAUCCUAGAAUGCAGUAGCCCCUGCUGCCCUGCCUGAGGUUGGGGUUGGCUUCCACUUUUGUGGUCACCUGGCCUCAACGGUAAAAUGAGAGCCAGUGAUGAGCCAGGAGGGAGAGGGAGGUGCGCCUGGGCUUGAACUGCGCCGGUCAGGAGUGACCCGCUAGGAUCUUCAGCGGUUGGUAAGUUCUGAACUCCUUUUGUCAUAGCAGUAGGCCGCGAUGAUCUCGUUUGGUCCGAUAUCUGGGGGAAUUGGGGGAAUAAGAGGCUAUUUGGUUUUCCCAGCUGAAGUUCAGUCUCUGUUAGAUUAGACGUUUAAUAUUAAUUAUGAGUAUUAAAUAUAGUCUAAUUAUAAAACUACUUGCAUAAAAGAAAAUCAAACAACUAGACAAAUAAUUAGGACUAAUUAAUCCAUAAUUAUCAAAUGUUUACUAUAGUAUCGCAAGAGUGAAUCAUGGACUGUUUUUUUUAUAGAACAGUAGGUGAGGGCCCCUACUGAAAAUUUUAUUUAAAAUUUGAAAAAAACAAAGUUUAGAACAAACAAGAAGACGAAUUACAGGGGGUUAGGGAGAGUUUGUACUGUCAUUGUUGAAGCCAUGCCGGGAUAGCAGAAUCAAAUCUACCCAAAGUUCUGUGAAUGACAAGGAGUAAUUCAUUUGCAAACUCCUGCUUGCAAUGCUUCACCGUUGGAUCUUUGUUCUGAAAAAGCCAAGCAUUGCGGCACUUCCAAAUGCUCUAGGUCAUGAGAAUAAUAACCUUCAUAGAGAAUGGAACAUUGAGUUGUUGUUUUAGGUUUGCCACAGCCUCCUCAGGAUUAGCAAUUCUAGGUGGAAUCAGACCGAUUGAGUGUCAGCAGGCCUUCGCGAAGUUGCACAUGAGGAAUAUAGAUGAUAAAGAGUUUCCUCCUUCUGCCAGAUGCAGUUCUCGCAGGUGUAAGACUCAAGAGUCAUGUUCUUCCUCCUAAAUCAUGGACUGUUUGGAACUAACUAAGAGUUAUGUGCAUCCUCAAUAGCAGAUUACAAUGCCCUUGUUUUUUCCCCCUCUCUUGCGACGAGACCAUUCUUCCAAAAAUAAACUUGAACAACAAGAACGCAAGAGCAAGCAGAAAUACAUUCAGUCAUUUCAAAGCAGAAGCGCAAGCAAUGGGCAUGUAAAAGGUUUAGCGAGACCCGGUAUUGGAUUCCAAAUCCCACACUGACACACGAUGGCGAGAUAAGUUACAAGAGGUGAACCUCAAGUUCCAUGUUUGAAACUGCUUACUGGCUUUCACUAGAGGGAACACAUGUGUCAAUGUGUGGCAAGACACAAAUGACAAACCUAUAAACUAGAGCGUGCAAUAGGAAGCUCAAGUUGAAACACCAAGCUCAAACAUCUACAGUGACCAUGGGAUCCCAGUGUCCAGUGACGUGAUGAUCACUCUUUAUCUCGCAAUAUUGGUGCCUCAAGAAGCUUGCGAGGUAACUCUUCAACUUUCGAUUCUUAGUUUAUGACAACUGAUAGAAAUACACAAAUAAGGAGUUCUAUGAAUUCAGCGUGUCAGUACCAACCUGGGCAACAAAUAUAUAUAGGACACAAGAAUCAACAAACAUAUGGUAUCCUGAUGGCUUUGAGAGUAUCUUGGGAGCAAGCCACAUUCCCAGGUCCGCUGCAGUGCCCACUGGCCACUGCCCACCACCAGGAGCCCUCUUCUGCCUCCUUCCCUUGAGCUUCGCCGACUACGCGAUUCAGUGCGGGAUUCUGCAGGACUCGCCUCAUCCUUGCUGUGGCUAUGAGCAACUGCCGCCGCGAAUUCCACCAAAGCUCCGGCAAGAGAGAGGAAAAAAAAAAGACCAGUUGCCUUGGCCACAGGAAUUCUAGCCUAGCCCGGUGGAAGGGGGACGGGCGUGCAGGGAAGGAAGGAUUCCGCCGUGCCCUACCGGCCCGAGACGUCGUUGUCACUCCGGAGCACGGGUAGGCCUGCAAACGGGGUGGGUGUAAAUGGGUAUUUUAGGUGAGUUUAAAAAAUGAUUUUGUUUUGACGGGUUAUGAUGGAUUUUAAUUGUGAAUGAGUUGGUUUGGGUGGGUUUAUUUUGUAUUGUGGGUCGAAAUGGUUGAUACCCAUGGGUGUAGAUGGUUUACAUAGGCAUGAGCUUCCAUGGGUCUUCACCCAUUCGUAGACCAUACAACUGUAUUUGAGUCGACUCUCAACUUAGUCCCAAGUCCCAACAUACUCAACUCAACCCUAACUCUCCAAGUCUUCACCCGUGCAUCGGCGGUCGCAUCCUGCUUCCUGCCCCGGCGGCCGACACUCCCCUCUCCCCAAGUCUUCGCCUCGGCGGACGGAGCUCCCCUGGUCCCUGCUGACGCCCGACGCUAAUUAGACACUUUCACACUUAGACCUAAGCACGGGACCCCAGCCCCACCUGCCAAUAAUAUUAUUGGAUGGGUUGUGUUUAAUUUCCUUCUUAUAUUUUUGGAUGGGUGUGUGAUGGAUAUCAAAGUUAUUAUAUUUGAGUAUAUGUGGGUGUGGGUUGGAUUUUUUGACAUCAGCCCCACCUGCCAAUGGAACACGGUGCAGAGGCAGCGCACGCCCGGGCCAGCGGGCCCCGAGUGCGUCGGGGUACCGUGCCGACUGCCGAGCACGAGCAGCCGAGGCCAUGGUGUUGGCCGUGGCCCGCGCCGACGUGCCACGCUCGUCCGUAGGGAUGGAUUCAGAUGUCUGGAGAUCCGAAACAUCCGUAUUCGUAUUCGGAUAAAGUGCUAAUAUGGAUAUCCGUAUUCGUAUUCGAUUUUAAUAUGGAUGUUAAAUAGACAUAUCCGAAUUCGUUUCUUCUCUAUCCGGUUUAAGAUUCGUAUUCGACAACAUUCGACAAAACCGUGAAAUAUCCGAUACUAUUCGUAUUCAAAAGAAUAAAGUAUUCAAUAAAAUCAAUUUAAACUUACUUUUAUUACUAAUUACUAAUUACAAGUGAUUUUAAACAUUAAAUAAUAUACUAAAAACUGAAGUACACCAUUUAAAAUGUUAAAAAUAUUUAUAUCAUAAACAAAUGACUGUGUUAAUCUUACAAUACUAGUGAUAUACAAUGAUAAAUUUUAAUAAUAUUUAAAAGUAUAAUUUUGAAUACAUUAGAUUAUUGGAGUUUGAGUCCAAAAUACAAAUAUACUUAAUAUACAAAAAGAUUAUAAUUAGAGUCUAAAAUAUAAGUAUACCAUAUAUAAAUAUUUUAUUUAAAAAUAUCAUAUUCAACUAAGUUUCAACUAAAUAAUGUAUAUGUACUAUUGUUCAUAAUUUGCUUGUAAUGUGAUUUUUAUCAACUAUAAAUCCAUCGAUAAAACAAAUUAAUACUUGUUAUGAUGCUAUGUUCUAAAUCAAGUAAGUAUCCGAAUGUAAAUCCGAAUUCGAACUAUCCGUUUUGUAUUAGUAUUCGACAAUAUUCGUAUCCGUAUCCGUAUUCGGAUUAAAAUAUGGUAAAUAGUGACAUUCGAAUCCGUAUUCGAUCCGAAUCCAUCCCUACUCGUCCGUCCGUCCCCUGCCUGGCUGCCUCGGGACGCCGUCCCGUGACGUGACCAUGCGGGUCCCCUGAUCCCGGCCUCGCGCCCGGGUGGCGGGCCCCCACCUCCCUGCCGCACUUGUGCCACUGGCCUGGCGCUCUGCGUGUUGCUCGGAGCCUGCCUGGGAGGGCGGGACGGAGGGACACGGCGGCAGCAGCACCUCGCGGCUCGUCCGUACUAGUACGGUACGUACAGAGCUUUGACUGUCCUGCCGCGUCCGAUCGGCUCGGCUGGCACGCCUACUCGCUACUCGUACUGGUCUAAGUGGCGCGGGGCCCGGGGUCAUAAACCCAAAGCUGCAGUGGAACGAACAAGUGAUGCGCACAGUGCGGUGCGGCCCCUUUCUGCUUCUGCCCCCUGAAUUCGGGACUAGCCGCACCCGCGAGCUGGUGAUAGGCUAGCUCGUUUGUCCGAAGUGAGCGACGCGGGGUGGAAGCGUGGUAGUAGGCUGCUCGUCUCGUGUUCGUAUUGCACACAGCGGUGGCUCCCGCCAGUCCGCUGGUGAUCUGCCCGCGCUGCUGCCUUGCUUGCCGCUGGUCGCAGUGACGACGACGUCUAGUACGCGCGAGAGGCCGCCAAGCCGGGUCAGGGCAGGGCAGGUUCCCCGGCCGGCCCCGGUGUGGGAGUGGGACGCACGAAAUGCACGGUGCCCCAAACUCCGUAGCGAGCGCCGCUGGCGCCCGUGGAACGGCGCUCGAAGCGGCCCCUGCCAGCGACGUCAGCCUCGGGGCCGACGGGUAUAACUUCUCGUUUUUCUUGUCUCGAGACCUGUCGGGCCCCCCUUUUUCCAGUUUCUUCUAUUCGGGCACGCGAAUCGAUGCCCGCCCUGCCCCUGACGAUUUGCCUGCAACGAUUGCACGCACGAGGACGAAGGACGGGCGAUGUCUCCGUGCACGCUCUGGCCUGCGACGUGUGCAUGCAUGGAGCUGAUGAUAAUUGGUGCCCAAGUUCCCUUUUUUCUUAUUAAUUUUUUUUUUGCGGGUAAAUUGGUGCACAAGUACGGCACUGUUUAUACAUUGUUUCGUGCAUAUGGUAAAGAGCAAGGAAAAUGAUUUGUGGCAAGGCAGUCCAUCGUGCCUAACCUUAUCGGAACUAGGACUGACGUACGUACCCUUAUCCAACCACGCAUUAUGGACUGCCUAUAUAAGAUCUCGCUUUAUCGUAAUCUAAUCGUUUUUACACGUGCAGCGGUCGCGCGGAUGACGUGUCUAUGGGGGUGCUGAAAAUGAUUGUGCCGCGACUGUGAGGGCCAAAUUACGUGCGCUGAACACCAACCAAUCCCGGUCAACCGUAUAGAAUUUUUUUAAGCAAUGGCGCUGUCGGGACGUGAAUCUCGAGCCCACCGUUGGCCAAGCGUGCGCUCCAGCCGUCUAUGAGCGCGGGAAAGCCAAGGAGCACCGUGAUCUGGUCUCUGCCGACCUCACAGCCACGACCACCACUACAUGCUAAAUUCUAAGAAUCCCUUGAUUUGAUCUGCUAAAUUAUAGGAACCGUUCCAUGUAAUAUCUCUAUAUGCAACCAACUGGAGAUCUCGUACGUAGCGUGCGUGUUCAUUACACCUGAUUGACGUGGCCGUUUAGAACACGACACGACGUGAUCGCGCAUCGUUACAAGUCACGCGAUAAAUAACGUGAAACGCGAGCGCGCGCAUGACAGCCUCCAUAACCAUUUAUUUAUCUCAUGUGAAGAAUAAGGAACACAACCACAUAUAAGUUGGUUCUCUUUUAUAUAGAUGAGCGACAUAGGAUUAAAGUCUCAUACCAUAUCUACACAUCAUCUUGACUUUCUUAUUGAAUUGGGUCACACACUAGUGACCCUAAUUCUAACAAGGUCGUCAUACGAGCACCAAACGUCAUGCCAAAAGGAGGUGCUCUUCCCGUCGUAGACCUCACAGGUGGUGAUAGCACGGUAAAAAGAGAGAUCAAGGAUUAAAUUUAGUUUAGGUUGCUGUCAGGAACGGAGGUUUUAACAACUUUUCUCUCGCUAGGCUUGUGGUUUUCAUACUACUAGUGAUAGCAGUAGUCAGUAGUGCGUGUUUUCCCUCCGGAUUUGGCAAAGCACGAAGAACUAUCUAGCAGCAGUUCGUACAGCUUUUGUGAGAUUAAAAGGCGCCCAAUAAAAAAGACAAAAGUUGAUCGAGGGCAAAGUCCCAAAGACGAAGGCAAAUCCAGCGACCGAAAGCAGCCCCCCUCCCCCCUCAGAUGCAGCGCGGUCAAGCGGCGCCUUCACACCAGGGGUCCGCCAGCGAGGAGUGCCGACUGGCGGCGAGUGCGGACGUCGCCGUCGCAUCGCGCUCGCCAGGUCCUGGCGUCGCCACCAACCCGGCCGGCUGGCGCGACGUCGACCAUCCCUGCGCUGCUCGCGCACAAAACUCUCCCGGGCCAGGCCACCUCUAGUUGACUAGCAGCAGCAGCAGCUUGCGGACUGUGGACUACGGGAAGCGUAGUCACGUCUAGUUGCAUCGGUUGCCACCACCAGAGCGAACACCCACACAAAUACUCGUUUGUUUAGCUGUUUUCCUAGUUUUGACAUGUGCCAUUACUUGUCUUGUUUGGGCCUCGACUGAGACAUCGAGAUCGAGUCCACUACAGAGUAGCACUCCAGGGCUUUGGAUCCAUGGCUAGUAGUCCGGUUUUCAGAAACGUGCGUGCUGCGGUGCUGGCCUGGCACUUGGCAAUUGACAACUUGACAGUAGUACAUGGGGGGUGUUUCUCAAGGGCGCCUCAAGCCUCAUCAAGUCAUCAGAUGUUUGGCAUGUUGCUUGGUGGUGCACUGCAGCGCUUGCUUGGUCGAGAGAGAUUAACAAGUACUAUAGCCCCGAUCCAGUGAUGUAUCAUCUGUCUCGAUCAGCCUACUGCAACCGCGUUGUUCCCCGCGCUCGCCAGACGUCUCCGCCGUCGCCGGCAGUGCACGCAGCAUUAUUAUAGUAUAGUCGAUGGAUCUCUCUUUCAUGCAUGCAGCUGUUUUGGUUGUAGGCCAUGCCUUGCCAGCCACUCGUGUUUGGAUGCUUAUCUGUCGUCGUCUUCUGUGCUCCAAAUCUCGCAUAUAAUUUGAUCGAAUAAUGGUCACUGCUCACGUGGAGUGUGGCUUCGCAGUAUGUAUCGCAGAGUAUAUGCUACAACGCACCACUUCAGGCCCGUCCAUCAGCGACCAUCCAGGGCCUCCCCUGAUCCCCUCAGAAAUACAAGCACAGCGCACAGCAGGCCGUAGGCCCAAUAGACGGUCCAGGUCUCGGAAGCUGAAUCGAUCGCAUCGGCAUCCAUGGUCCACCACAGUGCUCCAGUACAUCACAGACUCGCCGUUCUGUCCGUCUAGUGUGGCAAUUGCCAUUACAUCAGAUUUUUUUUCUCAAAUCCAUUGUAAUAGUAACAAUAUAGGCACCAAAAAAAGUUAAUAUGGUUGUAUCUGAUAUAUACUACAGUUAUUCAUACUAGGGAGAUACUUACAUGUUGUACUAGUACAAUGCCUGUACACAAUGAUUACAUUGAAACGGAACAACACAUAUAUUAUUAUUGACCUAUCUCACAAAUUCUUUGCCAACAACUAAUGUAGUGUAGCUCCCAAAUUUUAAAUCGGCUAUCCAGACUCAAUCUCAUUAUUUUAUUUCAGAUGAUUUCAAUUAAAGCAUUGGUUACAGAACAUCCUAUACAGUCCCUAGAAAACAGAUAAUAAACUAUGGAUUGAACGGGCUGACUCCGAGCAGACAUACUCAAACUCUGAAUCACUAAGGUCAUUUCCCUUCCUUCUCUUUUAGCUACUGAGUACUAAGAACGAGCAAGGCAGGGUUGGAUUAGAUGUGACCAACAAUACUAAGAUAAUCAUCACAAAGAACUCAUUGUAUCAGCUUCGACAAGAGACUCAAGCAACUCUUGUUCCGUACUUGUAUUUACAUGUCCCAUUACUUUCCAUCCAUCUGUUAGAGAGAUGGUCCUGAAAUCUCCAAUGACCAUUCGGGCAUAGACGAGCAAGGGACAGGGUGCGUCACACGUUCUAUGUUGUUAGAAGCAAGUAAAUUCCUCGAGUUGAUCGAUACAGACCAUCUUCAGAGAUGGCACCUGUUCGAACCAAAAGUGAGCGUGAGGCCGGACCGUCCGCGGUCCGGACGGUCCGCGCCUGUGGGCCGGACGGUCCGCGCGUGCGCAGAACAGAUUAGGGUUCCGAGUUUUGUGCUACGGUUGUUAGCUAUAUUCGCGGGAUUAGCUCGGAAUCAGUUGUGUAAAGGGUCCAGCCCCCCUCCUCUAUAAAUAGAGAGGUCUACGGCCGAUUUGUAAUCAUCAACAAUCGAAUCAAUACAACUUUUAUUCGCAUUUUAUCCUAGGAGUAGUUCUAGUCUAGUUUAGGUUUAGCCUCUCAAUCCCAAAUUCUUCGCCUCUCUUCGACUCUACGCCGAUUGGAGGAGUCUAGGUCGGCCGGCCCGAGCCUAGACAACCCCUAGGAUCUCUCCUCCCCGACGGGGUCCCUCCCGGGAGCGAGAUCCAGGCCGCCGCCGGCGACUUCCGCCGCCCCUGCGUACGCGCGGACCGUCCGGCCCUAGGGCGCGGACCGUCCGAUCGUCAGGCAGAGAAGCCCUAGCCGCGCACCAGGUCGCGGACCGUCCAGCCCCAGGCCGCGGACAGUCCGCCCCUAACCAGAGAGUACCACCGCGCCUCGCACCAGGCCGCGGACCGUCCGGCCCCACGCGCGGACCGUCCGCCCCUGUGCAGAGGGCACCGCCACGGUUCUUCUUGAGUAAUUGGCGCUCCCAAAAGGCGUCAACAUACUUUUUGGCGACUCCGCUGGGGAAGACAUAUCUAAGCUCAUCAAAUCGGCCCUCAAUGGCCGGUUCAAGGGAUAGCUCUGAUAUUUCUCCAAGCAACAUCAUAGAGCCAACUUGGGAAACCUUGCCGGCUGACGAGCAGCUCCAGUUCGAGGAGCACAAGGAGCGGAUGAUCCAGGAGGCGAAAGCAAAGUUUCUGGCCAACUUCAAAGUGGACAGGAACAACAAGGUCGUCCGACAUCGGGCGACGGAUCCGGCUUCGCUCCAACCCACGCCAGAUAUCCCCAAUGUAAGUAAUACCAACGAGCUACAAUCUCUUAGAAAUUAUGUAGAAGAGCAGCGUGAACAAAUGCAGAGCAUCAUAGGGGGUAUGCAAAGCGAUGUUAAGAGACUAGUACGUGCAUUCGAUAAGUCUAACAUCGCAAAUUUUCCUUCACACGAGGUUGGGUUAGGAGAUAACGCGUGUAACACAUCGGCUACAGGUUGUCACGACCAGUCACAACCCCUUUAUGGGAUGCCGAUGGACACAUACCCUAAGCAACCGCAAAUCGGCAGCAAACCAGCCGAUCUGCACAUGCCCGGACCGUCCGCACGUGAGCGCGGACCGUCCGGGCCAGCAACAGUCGGGCCUAUUUUUAAUGAGUUACCUAGAUAUGCGCCCGAGCCACCACACACGGCACAGAACCCAAACUACCCAGUCGGACGGUCCGCAUACAACGACGGACGGUCCGCAUAUAACCACGGACGGUCCGGGUACGUAUCCGGACAGUCCGCGCAUGAGUAUUUUGAGGAGGAUUAUUACAUGAAUCCUCGCCCGUCCCAGCAACACUUCCCAUCACACUAUGCGAUGCACCAGCCCAUUAAUUCAGGAUCCAAAGCCCAGGAAAGCUUUCCGGCCCCACCUAGAAGGCCGGAAAGAAACGAUCAAACCUAUGACCCAUAUAGGGCAAAUGAAAAUGCACCACGUAACUCAAACCAAUGGGGGGAAAGACAACAUGCUAAUAUCCAGCCAACCCCACCUAUGUUUGACCAGAGAGCCGGUGGUCUUGCACCGGCUGCCAUUGAUAUAGUAAGGGAAGAAAUAGCCGGGGCGUUCCGAGAUAAGCUCGGAGUAAGCAUGGUCCCUGGGGGGCAAUCAUAUCGGAAACCUUAUGACAGCCGAUUUGAUCACCACCCAUACCCACAGGGAACCAGGAUACCCGAAUUCGCAAAAUUUUCGGGUGAUCAAGGGAAAAACACACGCGAACAUAUAGGCCAGUUCUUAGCACAAUUGGGAGAAUUGGCCGACACAGAGGCAUUUCGCGUACGUUUAUUUUCAUUAUCGCUAACAGGAACCGCGUUUGCAUGGUAUGCCACUUUGCCUCCUAAUUCCAUUUCAUCAUGGGGGGAUCUAGAACAAAAAUUUCAUGAACAUUUUUUCUCCGGUGAUUAUGAAUUGGAUUUGGUAGAUUUAGUGUCAUUGCGACAGACAAAAGACGAAUCGGUUAAUGAUUACAUCCGGAGAUUCCGCGAUACAAGAAACCGAUGCUUUCAAAUUCAUUUAGCAGAAAAACAGCUAGUAGGAUUAGCCUUUAAUGGUCUACGAUAUUAUUUAAAAGAGAGAUUAGAAGGCAUCCAAUUUUUUACACUAGCACAGUUACACCAGAGGGCUUUGGCUUGCGAAAGCCGGAGCAAAGAAACUGCUAAAACAAUGCGUCACAACGUACAUAUAGUAGAAUGCGACCAAAGUAGCUCAGAUGACGAAUCAGCCGAAGUAUAUGCUGCUGAAAUGGUUUGGCCAAAACAGGCCAAAUCUUCGGCUUGUUCCUCCUUGCAGCCGGUUCAAAAGAAACGGCAAGAGGAGGUUAAGUUUACGUUUAAUGUUGGUAAGUGUGAUAAAAUAUUUGACGAAUUACUCAAAAAUGGCAAUAUUAAAAUAAAUCACACUGUUCCAUCCGCCGACGAGCUAAAACGUCGUGCAUACUGCAAGUGGCAUAACUCAUUUUCUCAUGCCACUAAUGAUUGUAAUGUAUUCCGACGACAGAUUCAAUCGGCCAUUAAUGAGGGACGAUUGAAAUUUCAGGAAAUGCAGGUGGAUACAGAGCCCUUUCCAAUGAACGUGAUCGACUUUGAGGGCAAGAAAGUCCUGGUUCGGCCAAACACGGCCGAUAAAAGCAAAGGCAAAGAGGCAAUCAUCGGCAAUUCUAAAAAGGCCGAUGAGGAUCAUAAAGUUUCUUGCAGAAAAGUGGUAGCCGAGAAGACUCCCGAUGGAGGGGAGACCCUAAAGGUGACCAUCACAGCCUCCAGCACUGGGGGGCAAGCGCAGACAGGGAGACAGAUGCAGGAACCCGUGCUGCGUAUCCCGGACGGUCCGACACAUAGGCGCGGACGGUCCGGGACCCCACCGGACGGUCCGGAGAGCUCCAGCGGACGGUCCGGCCGUACUCAGGACUCGCAGCGACCACGUACCUUCAAACCACGACGACCAGAGAUAGGUACGUGGAAAACAAAUACAUUUAAAGCAGCUGGUCGGCUGAUCAAGCCUGGCCCAACUUUCGAUCAAUUGUUGUCUAAAUAUGUGAAAAAGAAGGCCGGCCCCAGUGACCGGCCACCGAAGCGACCCCGCUCACCCAUUCAUGAGCAACGUCAGGUCAGGCCGAUUGGACCACCUCACCAAUCGGAAGAAAUGAAAGGUCCUAUUGUACAAUUGAGACCUAACAUGUCGACAUGGACCCCUCCACCUUCUUAUCCAU
RNAcentral lists this long non-coding RNA (88090 nucleotides) under Zea mays. RNAcentral's name for it is "long non-coding RNA (ZMAY_LNC002906)". The stretch from base 56557 to 56715 matches the Rfam family "U1 spliceosomal RNA". The record is from RNAcentral. Lineage: Eukaryota; Viridiplantae; Streptophyta; Magnoliopsida; Poales; Poaceae.